AAAAAAAAAAAAAAAAAACUGAUUAAUAAUUGAGAAUUAUUCCUGAAGAGAUAGUCAAAUUAAAUCACAACUCAACUGAUCACACAUUUAAAUAGAAUAUAAAUAAAUUAAUUAAUAAUGCUUGAUCCUGAAGUAGUCAAGUAGAGAUAAAUCAUUGUCUUAAUGGAGCAGAGAACAUGUACAAACUCACAGAGAAAAUAGUGGAAAUAUAGAGACACCUGAUAAUCAGCAUUGCAGCUUCACAAGCUCCACGAUUAACAAGCUGGCUUCUUCGGCUGAACUGAGAAACCGUGGUAUUGAAAUUUUACGAGCCCUGCAUCCGUUCUUUGUUAAGAAAUUUUAUUCUGUAGAGGGGAGUUCUGCUUCUGCAGGGCCGAUCUCAAGUGACGAAAGUGGGACUUGGGGCAGUUUUAUUAUGUUAGCAGAAAUGGGCUUUGGAUUACAUAAGGCCCAAAAGGCUCUGAACAUAUGCGAGCUGGCCGCAGCAUUCUUAAUCACAUAGCGCUCUGAACCCUCAAAGGUUUCUCACCAGCCCCCAUUGUUUCAUUAACCCCAUUUAUUUUUUAAAUUAUCCUUAUUAAAAGACAAAAAUUUAACUAAAAAAAAAAAUUAAAAACCCUAGUUACGCCUUCCACUACUAUUGUCACCACCUCAAGCCACCCUUCUUUAUCAUUCAUUCCAAUUUCAACUGUUUUAUUGUUAGCCUAUUUUUAUUAUUUUUCAUUUAUUUCAAUUAAUUUAUAAUUUAUUGAUCCGCAUACUGAAAUUAUUCUUUACCUCUUUUUAUUUGAUAUUACUUUUAAUUUUUUUAUACUAUCAUAAUAAUCUCAUUAAAAUCAAAUCAAACAAAUGAGGGGUUUUGUGGUUUUGUUCUGCAGCUAUUGUAGAAUUUGCUAUUAAUGUCAAAUCGGCGACUAAGGGCUUGCAGUGCAGUGGUGAAUGUCAAUAUGUGAUGGUGGAAGGUGGGCGGGGUUUUUGAAAUUGCACUUAUUUUUAAUUAUUUAACAGUAGCAAUUACAAAAAUAAGUGAAAUUAAUAAAAAAAGAAUAUGAAUUGAUAAGAUAAAUUCAGAGAAUCAAAUAUUGGUACUAUUCUUGAUCUGGACUCACUCAGCUUGUAAACCAUCUAAAAGGCCUUCAGGUGGGACAAUAAUAAUUUCUUGAUAACUGUCUGUCUGGGAUUGCAUUUAGCCAUAAGCUUCUAACUUAUUUAGGUACCCAAUAAUAAUGUAUCAAAAGAAGACAAAAACUACUCACUUCAAAUAUAUUAUGUAUAUAUAUGUGUCAUUAAAAAGAAAACAAUAGGCAUAGACUUCGGUCCCCAAACUACAUGAUCAUGUUACUCGACCUGGUAGACAAAUGUAUGUACUUAAAACCCAAUUGAAUUUGAGCUCCAAACUAUUACGUCAUGGCCAAUAAUGGAGUUGCUUUUGCCAAGGGGCAAGGACCCAGAGCCCAGAGAGAGGAGACAGCGACACAGAUGACAUUGACAAUCAAACGCGACAAUGUUCGGAGAAGAUUUAAAUAAGUUCUCCAUUUAAAAUAUGGCCAUAGUUGAUCAGUAACAUCAUGUUCCGCAUAUUCAUGUCUUUUCAAUAAUAUUUAGAGCACACGUACUACAGAUGACAUGAAAUUAUCAAAUUAUUUUCCAAGUGACAUAGUUUAACGGCAGAUUCGAACGAUUUUGCUAAUCUGAAAAUGAGCAAUUAAAUGUUUUAAAAAGGUAAAAAACGCAACUCUUAAUUGUCAGAAAAGUCCAUAGCAAUGGCCUGUGGCCAUGCCAGUGCUCCAUCUACAUCUCUUGGUAGAUGCUAAAAUAAGCUUGUGCCCUUUUUGGGAUGGAAUUUAGAUCUAGUGUUGAGCUGAUUUUUGCUCAACUUUUCAUAAUCUUCUGUCAUAUGUAUAUGUAUAAUAAUAUACGGUUAAGAUUCAAUUAGUUAUAUAUAUUCUUAUCCAAUAAAUAUCAAUUACAUAUUGUUUCAAAGGUUAGUAAAAAGUUAAUCACAAUAUUGAAUCUAAAUCUUUUUGUAUGACAGGAACCCCUUUUCUUUUUCUCUUCUUAUUUAACAAAUUCUUUUUUCAGCUUCCUUGCCUUUAAGAAUUUCUAGUUUUCUACUGACGGAGGGAGCAAGCAAAGGAGUGGUCAAAAGGGGGCAGCAUCACUCCUCACAUUGUUGGGUGGCCAUACCAUAUACAUCAACUGUUGCCAGAGGGUGAACAAUUAGGCCUGAAAAAAAAAAAAGUGGCAAAUGGGACCAACCAUGUGGGCAUAUGGGCCACAACUCGGAAGCCCAAUGAUACAAAAAAAAGCGAUAUUAAAGUGGUUUUUGUAGGCCCACUUCUGAAGAAGGAACUAUGCUGAGGUUAGCUCUUAUCUUUUCAGAAACACCAACAAUAAUUCAACCAUUUUGUUCUUUUGAAUCAUGCAUCCAUCGCAAGGCAUGACAAAAGCUUGCCAUAUAACAUGAUAAAAAGCUCAAUAGGAAGAACCCACUGGCUUCAUGCCAAAUUAUUGAGGAAGAAAUGAUAGUUCUUAUUCAUCAUGCAUUCAGAUAAUUUGUAUAUUAACCAUCUGAUCCACAAACCGCCUGGACCCAACUGGGUUUGAUAUGGAAUCAACCCUCUACAAUCAAAUGGUCAAAAAAUGUGCAUAACAUGAUUGAUGUUCAAUAGAGACGAGCUUGUUAGAAUCCUAGAGAAAAAUCGAAAUCACAGAUAAAACGUAAAAUUUCUCCAAAAGAAGAAUCCUGGGCACAUGGUCCGAUACAGGACUCGUGUUAUACACUGGAGAUUGAAUCGACACUUGUACUGGUUGCCAUAACUUCACUGAUAUCAUGUGCGAGUUCUGAAGGGCAGAAUCAUAUUAAGCUCGAAUGGAUCGGUUAGUUUGAUUUCAUUUAUAUUUGUUAGGUGGUGAAGGAGUGAUCCGAAGUUAUGAACUACACUGUUUAGAGUCCUUUCAAACAGUUGCUUUUGGCGGAAAAGAAAUAAUAAAGGAUGAAUGGACCACCUUUGGCCCUCAGUUCUGACCAUGAAAAAGCUUAUCAUUCUUAAAUGAACAUUCUGCUUAUUUAACACGCCUUGAGACCCUGGCAUCUAAAGGUCAAUGACGAACUAAAAUCACUUAAUGAUGACCAACCACCACAAGGUGGCAAGGUUAUUAAUACCCUAAUAGCUAUAAUUAUCAACUCAUAAUUGCAGUUCAAUGGAAUAAUUUACUUCACUUAGAGACGAAGCUAAUGCACUUUCCCUUUGCUUGAACGCUAAAAACAAUGUCAAUUUUUGCAUUCAUUUUGAAUAUUAAAUUGCUAAGCGUGGUUGCCAAAUGCUUGAAAGCUCACGCACCCACUUGACAGCAUUUCAAUUCCGGACUCCAACUAUAUCGCACCUUUUUACAACUUCGAAAAGUAAUCGUUUGAUAUGAUGCCUGGAUUUCAGGUUAAUCAAAUAUCAAACAUUUCCCAAAUUUGUUAAACCGAAAAAAGGAUGUCAAGCUUUAAUUAAUUUUUAAAAAAAUAAAAAGAAAAGAAAGCUAAUAAAACAAAAAGCAACGAGCCAAUACCAAGCUAGUGAAAUUAAUUUAAAAGCUUCUAAUUGGCCCUCAGCCCCUCACUUCCAGUUCAGAAUAUCAACUUCCUACGAGGCAGCGCCGCUACUGGAUUACGUUUCCCGGAAAAGGCAGCGAGAUCACGGAUGGUUUCCCCGAUCAAAUCUUUAAAUAUGAGCCGUUCUAUGUCAAGCACUGCCUCGGACAUCUCAAUCGGGCAAUCCCCGUUAAUGGCAUCCCCCGCUAAGUCCUUUUUUAGCACACCACAUAUGACAUUAAACAAGUCCUCAGAUGAGUCCCUCUCCCGGAUUUUCUGAAAUUCCAACCAAAUUUGUUGCAGUGAAGCCUGCCCAGAAUUGGAAUUUGCAUAAGAAACGACUUUCCAUGGCGGCAAUUGCCUCCUGCGAAUCAGAAUUUCAUUGAUAGUAUCAAAUAUAAGCUUUCUCUGCAGUCUUGAGACCUUGGAGGUAUCCUUUCCCUUGAGAUAUUGUUGCUUCUCUAGCAAUAAAAACAUAUCUGAAUCUUCCGGUAGGAAAUUCGAUGCCCGGAGAAUAUCCGAAAUGUAGGUGAAAUCAGAGUCAUCAUCCUCCGAUUUUGAUUCCACAGAUGAAAUCCCUAGGCUCCAGAUAUCAUCUUCCAAUUCGUUUUGUUGGUCUGUUAUUUACACCAGGUAAAAUGCACAAGAGUCAGAUACGUAGCUGCUAACAUAGCAAACAACAGUAGAAAAUGUCAAAAGACUCAAAACCUAUAGUAGAGCCCACACCAUUGAUCGAACGCCAAACAAUUUUCAUUCAAUAUGAGUAACAUACUGACAUAACAAAAGCUUAAAGAUGCUGACAGUGACAAAGAAAGGAAAUUGAAGAUGCCUCUGAUUGGUUACCAACGUGGGCCACUCCAUAACAAAACCAAAGGCAGCAGCAUAAAAAUGCAUAGCUAUCGAUGGCAUCCCGAUGGACACCUGUCAGUAAGGUUCAGCGAACAUAUUCCAUUUCAAGAUUCAACCAGGCUAAGCUAACCACUGGGAUUUGAUUUUACCCAGAUCAGGUAAUUUUGCAGAAAAAGAGGUUCCAGUCACUGCCCUUUUUUAAGUACCAUCAUCAAUCACAGUUGUAGUUCACGCAUUUAAUUUUUCACUCCAAAAUCCAGCUUCGUCGUUCCGUCAAUGAAUCCGACGAUCGGCAUCAGUGGGUACCAUUGAUAAUCAAUCCCACGUGAUUGCUCGUGCCACAUAAAUAAUUUAGAUUUCCCACUACAUCAUACAGUCAUGGUGUUCACUGUUACCUCUCUAAAACUUAGCUCAGCCUUUUUCUGUACCCGAACCAGGUAAUCAACAAUUUAAUGUUAAUUAAACAAAUCGCACUACAUUAAAACCUAAUUAAUUUCAUUUUCUACCCAAAACCAGGAGAGAGAGGACAGGGACAAAUAUCUACUACUAUUGAACGUACAGCAUUGACUUAAACGGGCCUAGCAGUAGUAGCAUACAAUCAAAGACGUCACGAUAGUCAAAUGCAAAUCCAGAAAGCCAAGCCAUCAAUGUCGAACUGUGCACAAAUUAAACGGAAUGGCAGGGAAAAAAAAAUGAAAGAGUCUCGCACCUUUGAAAUCAAUGCUCCGUUUCAUAACAGGAGAAGGAGACGACUCGUCCUUGUAAAACGAUGAGUCAAGCACCGAUACCGGACUCGGUUGCAACUCGCUCGCAGUUAUUUCCGCUAUACUGUGUAGCAGCUUAUCACAUCUCUCCAAUAAGCUCCUCCCUUCCUUGUACUCCUCCACUUUUGAUCUCUACAUUACAAUUUAGAAAUUUAAUUAAUACUUGUUAUUAAAACGGAAAUAUUUUCUUUAUUUUUUGGAAAUACUAUCAAUUAGCAGCUUACCUCAGUAUCAGUUUGAGAAGAGGUGCAGCUUAUACUACAUUCAGAAAUCGUGGAUACUUCAUCCUCCGCUGGGGUGAGUAACUUAUCGUCCUUGUGACAAAUCUCAGCCAUUGGUUUGGCCAAUCUCGGAGAACGGUUUGUCGUCUGAUCUGAUCCAAUCCUUUUCACUUUACUCCUUGGAGAUACUCUGCUCUGCUCCAUAACCGUGGACUCAUUAUUCACUUUCCUCUGCGUAUCGAUACUCAACGGUCUUCUCCUGCUUGGACUUCUAAUGCUGGUCUCGCUUCUGGUCGGCGAAAUCGAGUUUCGUCCUCGGAUAGGACUGCUGUGGUUCCGUACAUUCCGGUCAAUCUCCGGUCUGUCACGUCUCGGGCUCACCCCUGGCGACAUCUCACCGGAGAAAUUCAAGCUCCAACGAGUUCCUGCCCUUCGAAAACUUGAAGGAGAUGACGAGUCGUUGCCGGCUAUUCCUUGCCGAUUAAUUGCCCCCGGUUUCAUAACGACGAUUGGAGAUUCAUCAUAGGCGAAGUUUCUUAGACUUGAAGCCUGGCUUGAGGGUUUCUUCGGAUGUAAAAGGCCUUUCAGUUGCAAAGCUUCAAGGAUUUGCUUAAGAGUUUCGAGAUCCUUAGAAGGCUCGUCGAUUCCUCGCAUUUUAAGCCUCUUCUCAAUCUCUCCGUAUAUGGAAACGCUCUGUUUCGGCUCGGGAAAAAAAUCGGCCGAGUCGAAGAAGCUCUUCUUUUGCAGUUGAACUAUUCCUCUUUGGGGUGCUUUAGCUGACUCGCUUCUCACACUUCGUACAUUGAGCUGCUUUGGAUCUACACGUCGCCCAUUCACCAUUCGUUCUUCGGUACCUGCAUUGUUUUGAUUUUGCCUCGCAUUCAUCUGCGAAUACGACGGCUGCGAUUGUUUUAACUGAAAGUUAAUCCCGUCGAUGAAACGAUACUGAUCUUUGGAGACUCUAGACUCGGAAGCGGAUCUUCGUAGCUCCGCUUUCUUAGCUGGUUCAGGAUCCGAGUUAGGCAACGAUUCAAGUCCCAUGAGCCUCGCGAUGACGCUCGUUGAACGUCGCUGCUUUUCUAACUCUUCUCCCGCUGAUGCUUCUUCGGUGUUUUCACAACGGUUUGCCGAUAAAAUCGCGGCGUUAGUGCGGAUCUCCCUGGGUUUGAGGCUUCCCUUGGCGUCAACAACGGCUCUGCUGUCUAGAGAAAGCCUGGGAGCUUCUUUGCAAAACUUCCACGACGAUCUUGUACCUUCCUUGAAUUCGAAAACCGGGAGAGGAGGCGCCACCUUGCUGUCAGUCUUCAACGAAGUUGCAGGCUCCUGCGCCGGAGACGGAGACGGAGACGGAGACGGAGGCCGAAGCUCCGUCACUGGAGAUUGCUUGAAGCGGUCCGGGGACGGUGUAGAUUUCCCUUGCUGCUGCUCUCUCGAAAUAGUAGAGGACUCAAUACUCUUCUCCGAUUCAAAGGUAGAAUCAGCAGCCUGAAUUUAGUUUCAAAACAGUGAAAUAAGCAGCCAAACAGAGCACAAAUACAGAAAAAGACAUAAUGAUAAACUGACCAGAGAGGGAGGGAGGCGUUUGGUGGAGCUAAGGCGUUUGCCGGUGAGAAUAUGAUGGCGGUCAAAGAUCUGGAGGAAACCAGCCAUGCAACCCAUUUGCUUCUCAAUCUGUUUCUCUAGAUUCUGCUCAUGUACUAUUCCGGUCGUCAUUUUCUCUUAUUAUUUCUCACUUUCAAUCUUCUUUUUUUUUAAAAAAAGCACGCCUGCUCUCUUUUGUUGGCCUAAAAAAAUCUCACUCUCUCACUUUCCGAUCUCCAUUUUUCACAUUCCUCAGUUGCUCUGUUUGUAUCUCUAUAACUUCGCCUCUAUCAACGUCUCCCGCUUUUCUGGUCUUUUAAAGGGUAGGCGAAGUUAAGGCUGAGGACAGAAUGCGGGGCCAGACAAAAAGACAGGAACUGCCCUUUUCGUUUGAUGAAAUUUCAGAAAAGUCUUCCUCCAGAGUUUCGGCCCUAUAGCUGUAAAUGGCAAUUGGGUCCUCCACCAAGGGUGGGCUUGAAUUUGAGAUUGCAUAUUUAGGGCCUUGUUUAUAGUUGUAGAAAGAGCACAAAUGCUCCGUGGGUAAUGCUGUCCACGUGUCCGAUUCCACUUCCUUAAUGUUCGUAACUUUGAACGAUGACCAACUUUGACCAAUUUUUUUCCUAAACUAGCCCCGCCAUCUUGCGCACUUAAUAAAAAAAAUGGUUCAUAAUGAUUGAUGACACACUCGUCUGCAUGCAGUGACGCUCAAUACCAUAUGACUUUUCAGUCCCUUGACUGUUCUACAACAGCUUAUUGGCUAAAACCAAAAUACUCUGAACGAUUCUUUGGCUAUAUUAUAGAGUACUAAUGUAAUUCUCCAUUUUCAAUUAUUCUUUUCUCUAAGAAAGAAUCAAUUGGUAACUUACGUGUAUUUUAAGGCCAUAUGAUUUUCCGAUAUGAAGCAGAGACCGUUCUCUGCUAUCUCCAUUUAUGAUCAUCAGUUGCGGGUGCAUAUGAACCAAUUUAAGGCCGCAAUNNNNNNNNNNNNNNNNNNNNNNNNNNNNNNNNNNNNNNNNNNNNNNNNNNNNNNNNNNNNNNNNNNNNNNNNNNNNNNNNNNNNNNNNNNNNNNNNNNNNNNNNNNNNNNNNNNNNNNNNNNNNNNNNNNNNNNNNNNNNNNNNNNNNNNNNNNNNNNNNNNNNNNNNNNNNNNNNNNNNNNNNNNNNNNNNNNNNNNNNNNNNNNNNNNNNNNNNNNNNNNNNNNNNNNNNNNNNNNNNNNNNNNNNNNNNNNNNNNNNNNNNNNNNNNNNNNNNNNNNNNNNNNNNNNNNNNNNNNNNNNNNNNNNNNNNNNNNNNNNNNNNNNNNNNNNNNNNNNNNNNNNNNNNNNNNNNNNNNNNNNNNNNNNNNNNNNNNNNNNNNNNNNNNNNNNNNNNNNNNNNNNNNNNNNNNNNNNNNNNNNNNNNNNNNNNNNNNNNNNNNNNNNNNNNNNNNNNNNNNNNNNNNNGGGGGGGGAGGGGGGGGAAUAAUAACACACAUCACGAGCAUAGUUGAUAAUUCUUGAGUGUAAAUGUAAUAAUGUUAGAGAAAAAUAAAAUACAUUACAUUGCAUUACUCCGUUUAAACGGUAGAUAUAUCAUUUAUAUGGUAAAGUGUAGCCCGUGACCGUGAGCAUUGGUAAAUUUACCCACCAUGACUCAUGAGUCGAGGCCACGCUUUUGUUUUGUUUUUGUCCAUCUACGUCAUCAUUUUUUCUCAAAUAGCGUGCGUGCGUUAGCGACAAUUUAAAAGCCGAAGCCUUGCAGCCACGCCCACGCGGCAUCCCACAAACUAAACUUGAUUUUCACCUCCGCCACCGACUGACCAAAACUACCCGACGGAGGUUCGGGAAUUGGAACUCAGCCACCGCCUUUCCACGGUUGGAACACGUGGCCUCAAUCUAGAGUCACAGCUAGCUACCAGGUAAUACCACAGAGGCACAGAGGUAGCUGACCAUGACAAGUGACAACAGUUCUAUAUAAUCAAUGGGGUAAGCAGUGGGCCCCCUCACGGAGUAUGCCACGUAAGCCACGAGAAUGAGAGCAAUUUAGUUUUUGCUAUUCGCUUCACACGGAGGGCGCGUUUACUAGACAUAAUAAGAAUACGGUGGACGAUGAGAUGAGCUGUAAUAACACUAAAUUAGAUAUAAUAUUUUGUGUAAUUUAAGAUAAAUAAUUAUGUAUUAUAUUUGGCAUAUUAUUAGAUUAGAUAGGACUGAUUAAUAACUAAUAUAUUUAUUUUAUGUUAAAUUAAUUAUUAUAGCAGAACUUAUAAUAAUAUUUUGCUCUUUGUUUUUAUUUUUUUUACUAUUUUUAGUCUAACUCAUUAUCUACUGACUAAAAGAAAAAAUGACAAACCAUUCUCUUAUCCAGACUAAUAACAUAAGAUAAGAUUUUAGCUUUAAAAAUCUUAUAAGCUAAAAUCUUAUAAUAGGGAUUCUAUAAGAUUUAUGUAUCAACUAUUCACAUGAUUAAUUGGUGGGAUUUAGAUUACUAAUCUUAACUCUAUUUUGGCUCCAAAGUCCAAACUCUAGAUUAAGGAGUAGUUUGGCAAUAUUGUAAUUUUUAAAAUAAUUAUUAAUAAGUAUGUUGUAAAAAUAAUCAACAGUAAAGAUAAUUUAUUAAAUAUUUAGUAAAAUUUAUAAGUUUUAUAAGUAGUAGUAUGUGUUUAGUAAAUUUUAUUAUUAAACUAUUGUAAGAAUAUAAAUAAUUGAAUUAAAUAUCAUGUUGAAUAAAAUUUAUUAUACAUUUAUAAACAUGUAUAUAAAAUAUUUUUUAUUGUGUAUAUGUAAUAAUUGAUAAAUGAACUAAAUAUCUUAUUCAUUAUCAUUUAAUUUUUUAUUUUGGUAUCUCAAUAUAAUUAAUAAUAAUAAUAAUAAUCUAUUUAAAGUUAACCAUUUUGUUACCUAAUUAAUAAAGAUACUUUUGAAUUUUUAUAAGAUACAUAAGGAUAUAUAUAUAUGGAAUUGUAAUGAGAAUAAAACUGAUUCUCAAAAUUAUAAUUUGUUAUCUCAUAUUUUAGAUUUCUAUAAAUAAUUAAAAAGUUACUUCUUUUUUAUUUUUCAAAAUCAACUAUAGGAUGAGAUAAUUUUAUCAAAAGUAAUUUCUAAAAAUAUUUAUCAAAUACUAAAAUUAACUUUUAACUUUUAAAAAUUAUUUUUGAGCCUUUUAAAAGCAAUUUCAAACCGACCCUAACACUACCUUCUCUUAAAAUAAUCCAAUUCUAACAUCUUUAAUAACCACCAAACAGCCCCUUAAGGCGGCCUUUGUUGCUUUGCAUAAAAAGAUCGCAUCCUCACAAUCCCAUGGACCCAUGCAUGUGUACAAAAAUGCAAUGGCUAAAAGUUCGCCAAUUAUUUAUUUAUUUUUAUUAUUAUCAUUAUUUCGAGGCUGCUAAAUACUUAUUUAAUUUGCGUAUACUUAUAUAUUAUAGGCCGAUUGGAAAGCCAAAGAAUUUUCGGAUUACUUUUACUAAUUAGAUCAUGCAUGUGGUCCGGAACAAAUGAAGAGGGCACUGUUUAUCUUUUCAUAAUGUGCACGUAUCUCUGAAUCUCGUGAGCGUUGAUUUGAUAUUAUACAGGUUGUAAGCUUAGAAAAAUCCACUCUUCACUAUUCUCAUAAUCCUUUCAAUCUACCAAAUGACUGAUUCACUUCUCCAAUGCGGAUCUCAAAAAUCUGGCUUCCCCACUAAAUUAAUCUUAAAAGAUUAGUUAAGGCGCUAUUACACUGGUGAUUUUUUCUUUUAAUAUAUUGCAUGACGAUUUCCUAAUAUUUUGAUAUAUAAGAAAUAUAAAGUGAAUGGUUUUGAUCUAUGCAUCGGCAAUGGGCAUAACUCAAAAUCUGCUUCAAUAAAAGAGAAAAUCUAUUUCAAUGGCUAUCCAAAAUCUGAACAAUGAUCAUCGUUUACCAUCUUUGUCGCUNNNNNNNNNNNNNNNNNNNNNNNNNNNNNNNNNNNNNNNNNNNNNNNNNNNNCAGCAGAUAACUUCUAAUGGUCCUAUGAAAGAAACCCUAAUUUACAAUUUUAAUUUUUCUCUCAAGUUGAUAAACUAAAGGCUACCGGUUGGAAGCAAUCCCUAGUCUUCUAAGGGAUUGGGGACUGCGUCCAGAUCAGGGACGGGGACGGGGAUCAUGGUCCCGCCCCAAAUCCGCACCAUUACCUUGUCUAAUCUUAUAGAAAUUAAUUUAGUUUAUUUCUCCUGCAGAGUAAAUUUUACGUGGCUGUGUUCUUUUCAUUUCUUUUCUUUUCCCUUGUUUGAAGAUAAUAUUAAUAUCUCUGUUAAGCUAUCUAAUAAGAUUAUAUACUUACGGUAACUUAUCUUUUACGAAAAAUUCUAUAUUUUUUUUUUAAUUUCGAACAAAGGUGUGACAUAUAUCAUCUAUUUAUACAUAUAAAUUCCAUUUUGUUAUCAACAGUAUCUUUCUAGGGGCUUAUGCAUUCAAUAUCUGUUUUGAAUUUCAUAUAUACCUGUGUCCUUUCUUAAUUGGGAUUUAUUCCCCCGAGUAACGUUAAACUUACUGCAUAAAAGAUAAUUUAUUUAUUUGUUCAUUUAUUUAUUUAUUUAUUGUGAGAAAUAUAGAAGCUAAAUUUUUAAUAACAUUGAAGACAGCUUUGCUUGUGGCUUCAACAAUUCAAUACACGGUUGAUAUGCUACACUAACAUCACAUUAUACAUACUCUUACUACAUAUUAUAUAUAUAGAGAGAAAAAGAAAUAUUUCAAAUCAGAAUCUUGAUUUUGUGAAAACUCGCAAAAGUUAUUAAACCAUAUUGUUUAAUAGUGUAAUGAUCAUAAAAACUAUUAAACCAUAUAAUUUAAUAAAUUUUUCAUAUUUUAAUAAAGUCUAAGAUUUUAAACCACUUCAAUUUAUCCAUCCAUCUAUCUAUAUAUACACACACACACACACACAUACAUGUAUGUAUGUAUGAAUGGAUGCAUGCAUGUAUUGGGCUUUUCAAUUAAGUCCUACUCGAGGGUUUCUUAAUUUAGAAAGAAGAUUUGAUUGUUUCUAAAUUUUUAUUAAUUAAUGUUUAUCCUCAAUAUUUGUGAAGUUGUAACAUGCAACUUGCUCCAGUGGGAAAGUAGAGGCAGAAGUUAAUGUAACGAAAACUAGAGUUAAUACGACCCAAAUGCUGAUCGACGCACUUGUAUGCUUAAUCAUACUGAAUUAAGCUCGAAAUGCUAAGUUUACUCGCUCAGAAAUUGAGGAUCCAAUAGCGAUCAAAUCUAGGCAGGCACUUUUGGUGCAAAUUUUGGUAAGUGUUCGAUACUAGUCUUCGAUUACGCAAAUUGAGUUGAGAUCUUUAGAAUGGUCACUUGAUUUAAGCAACUUCAUGGUCAAGUUGCCAAGAAGAGUCAAUAUCUUAAAGUAAGAGAAAAUUAGGAUAUCUUAAAUAAAUAUAUAUAUAUAUAUUUGUCUAAGCGACCUCCCUAAGAAUCACGUGGUCUUAUGUUUCUUCUUUAUUGGAUUGGAUCCUCAAUUUUUUUAAAAAAUAUUUAUGUUACAAUUUCACAAUCUAUUAAUAUUAGCAUAUUUAUUAUGGCACAAUUUAAGUUUCUACUUUCAUAAAUAUUAGAGAACAUCUAUUUCACCCAUAAGAAAAAAAAAAUUAUUUAUACUCAAUUUUUUUAUUUAAGAAAAAAAAAUUAUAAGAAUCCCUAAGAUGGGACUGGAACUCGCGCUAGCACUUUAACGGGGACAUUUUUCUUUUUUCAAUUUACCUUCCAAAUAACAAGAAGGUCCGCUUCUUAAGUUUGAUAGUGUAUUUAUACAUAGCCAAGGUCGAUUAUAUAUAUAUAUAUAUAUAUUUUAUUUUUUUUUUACUUUUUUUCGCUUAUGGCCUCGGCUUUUUGGCUGCUCAAUUUAUAGAUUUUAUUCUAUAAAUUAUUUAAGUUUAUGGUUUCUACAUUAUAGCUCUCAUUUAACCAAAAUUCCAAUUCCACGGUUCGCUGACGCUGAAGCAUCAUAGCAUUUAAAUGAUGUCAUGUUAGGGAGCCAUUUAUUUUUAAGCGUGAGUUCAAAUAUUGUCCGAGUGCGUCAGACUUGAUAUUAUUAUUAUUUUUUUUUUCUUUUUGGGUUAUAAUAAUGGCAGAAAGUGGAUGUAGCUCUCUCGUUGAAAGAAACCGCUUUAAAUUUGUGUCUGAUUACUUGCUUUUUUUUUUCAAAGAAAAAAUUUAUUAUUGCUGCUUUGCAGUAAGAAUUAGGACGUUUAAUCCCUAUCAAGACUGAAUUACUUGUGAAUGUGACAACAAAGAUUUGUCCCCGAUCUUAUAUAUAUAUAUAUAUAUAUAAAGUAUAAACCCCUGUUAACUGUAAUUAAGAAAUAGAGAAGAAUAUAAACUUAACUGAAUCCUGAGGAAUGGGAUCGAAGAGCAGCUAGCAGAAGAAUGCAAUAGAAAAUCAAUUUCCUGGCUUCCAAACAGACCUCAUGAACUAUAAUGAUUGGUGGGGUUGCAAUUCCAAUCUUGAAACUGCGGGGUGAGCGUCAGGGUCAGUGGUCAGGCUGGCUGCCACCCAUGUGAUUUGUCUUCAGGACAGAAAAAACGAAACCUUUCUGGGUUGCAUCAUGUGAGCCUACAUUUCUUUUGAGUACAUGCCCAGCUAGCCACUUAACUAUUCUAUUAUUAUUCUUCAUUUCAUUUCCUAUAUGUAUUACAUAUUUAUAAAUAUAAUGGACCUAACAUCUCAGUCAUUUGUCUUGUCGAUGCUCUUAUAUUCGUGUUCACAAUUAUAUUUCACACAAAGCAUGCACCUUUUAUCUCUCUCUCUUUUCAUUUAACCCACAUGCAUCUCAGAUCUCUGCAGGCACCUUCCUUAACUUUUCAUAAAUACAAUUUCAUCCUCACCCUCGGCCUAGCCAUCUGAAUCUGACACUUGUAAGUGUAAACAUGCAGAAACCCAGUAGUAAAUUAUUAGAAUCCAACUUUAUAGUAAGCAUCUAGGGAACUUAAUAAUAUAUUGUGGGCCACUCUCUCCUAAGGUUUCCAUGUCCUGGUUGCAUGAAUUUGGUGAGUCCGCACAUUUUUCAAUCUGUAAAUCCCAUGUUCUAUAUAUAUCAACCGACCCUCGUCCUCUGCACACAUUCCUUCAUUUUCUAUUGUGGUUCAAAAGCAGAUUUCACAUUCUCCCUAUGCACUAUAAUAAUAAAAUAAAAGAAAAAAACAAUAAUUAGACUGUCGUUUUUAAAGCACCAUCCUGAUAAAAAAAUCACUAACUGCUCGCCUCUAAAGUUACUGCUCGACCCUUGAAUGAAGAUGUAGAUUUUAUUUUACAUAGGGUUGAUCAGAUAGUGGCAGGUAGCUAGAGAUGAAUAGAUAGGAUGAAUUAACAAUAUUCAAAGUUCCUGUCAGGGGGGGAAAAUGUGCAGAUAUAAUUUUAUACAAAGUGCUUCCCAUAUGCUGAGAGAAAGCACUUCCCAAAUAACUUAUGUUAAAAAAUAGUUGAUUGGUCUAGAUAAAUAUGGGAAUGCUGAAUCAAUGAUGAAGAAGGAGAUGGGAUUCUGAUUCCCUCUCUCUAGGGCUUAGCGGUUGGACCACUCUCAACUUUGAAGACUACGCCCCCUCCACAUGGCACUUCAUAUGAUAUAUAUUUUGUAUUAUAUCAUGUGAAUUGCGAAGUGAUCACCACCCCUUGCCUCUUGAACAUAAAUAAUCCCUAAAGGCAGCUCCAAAUUUUGCCGCUUCAUUUUCAUUCCAGAUUCUUGUAUUUAUUAUUAUUAUUACAUCAGUUUUGCAAAAGAAUGUAGAAGAAAAUUGGCAGUAGAACUUCUCUCUUCACUCACUGCCAAGGUCAAGUCAAGUAGCAUCCUUUAAGGAAAUAAAGAUAAAGAUGCUUGAAUGAUGAGACUUCUGAUGAAACUUACUUAGUCUUUAAUUUUUUUUAUUUUAUCUUUUUGUUUCUAUCUGUUUUUUACUACACUUACCAAACAUUGAAUGUGCAAAUAAUUUUUACCCUGAUUUCAAACUUUUAGAUUUACCCACUAUCAUAUAUACUUAAUUUAUUAAACAUCUUAUUAUAGAAUAUUUUUUGUUAUCCGUCAUGUAGCGUUGGAGGCCAGCUAUCUGUGGCUAAUCCAAUGUUCAUCUCUCUUCUAGUGAAUAAUUUAUUACUGUAAAAUGGUAGGAGUCCUGUGUCCAGCUCUUAUUGCUAGCUAAUAUUGGAUGGAAUAAGUGUCAGGAUGAAGCUGAAACAAGAGUCAAAAUUUCGCUAUUAUCUAAAAACAAGUGCAUUUGCUAGCUGAUCACUAACGUGCAUUGCACACGACAUUAUUUUUACUUUUACUUUUAGGGAACACUGAAAAGACACCAAGAAAUUUUCUAAGCAAAUAACCCAUGCACAUGACUUGACAUAUUUGCAUGCUUUUUCAUGUUUUGUGUUAGACCUUGCCUCUUUUUUCUCCUAAAUUCUUCAUAAAUAAUCCAAAACCAGACAUCUAAAUCAUGCAAUUGUAGUUAAAGAGCGGCAUCAAAAUUAUUUUCUACGUUAUGUUGCAACUAAUACGUGGAUCAAUGUUUUUAACUUCACCCAAGUUUGGUCCCAAAGAGGGCAGAGCACUUGAACGACAACGGGUUUUGUCAGUUAUGUUCUCAUUUUUAGCCAUGUGAGUGCGUAUAAUUGAAGGAUUAUCGUUCCCUUCCUAAUUUAAUUUUUCUUUUUAAACAUCUUGUACCACUUAUACUUUAAUGAUAGUAUAUAAUUAGAAUUUAAUUACUUUUAUUUUUUAAUUUAUUAACUACCAAUUAAUAAAUUUUGCUUAAAAGAAUAUCAGCCAAUAAGAAAAUUUAAUUACAUUAUGAAAUGAGGUUUAGUUUCACUUUGUAUUUCUACUAGCACGAAGGGGUGGGUAGAGUUAAACCAUGCCUAAAAAAUUACUAGUCUGGUUCGGUAGUUUUUCUUUAAAAAAAUAAAAUUAGAUAUUAUGAUUCUGUGUAAAACCGAAUGGAUUAUAUCGAAACCAAGCCAAAAAGAAAUUUUCAAACCAAUUAUUUAAAAUUCUUGAACUGAACUGAAUAAAAAAAUUUCAGUUUAUUCCAAAAUUGAACUGAACCAAACUGGAGCUCAUAAUAAUUUAAUUGAAACCGAAAAACCCGAAUCGAAUCAGAAAACUGAAUAGAACUAGUCCAAUUCAACAAGCACCUAGAAGUCGCGUGGCAAUUUUUAUUUAAAAAAUUAUUUUUUUGAUUUUUUGGCUUGAUUUUCAAAUUUGAAAUUUUAAACAGAAAAUUGAUUUGCUAUGUUAUCUACCAUGGAUCAAACAAAAUAUCUAAGGGUAAAAUAGUAAAAAAAUUUAAAAAAUAAAAUGUUGAUACUUAACCUACAGGUGUUUUCAAUUAAUUUUGAAACUUGAUGAGCGAAAAUGAUAUAUUGUAACAAGUUAAAAGUUAAAAGUUAUAUAUAUUUUGCUAAAAUGAGGAUGCCAAUAAUGAAUAAAAAAUAUAUAUUCCAAUGCACUAAUAGAUAAAUACGGUUUUCAAUAUACUGAAAUAUGUGUGGCAUCAGAUAUCCUCAUUAGAGAAGAACUUUGCAUAGAGUGAGGAUGUUACUAACAUAUACAAAUCAAUACACUAAUAGAGAAAAAAUACAUAUUAUCUAAUGUAUUGAAAUUUAUUUUUUAUUUUCAUAUAUUUUAGUGGCAUUCUCAUUUUACAAAGUGAGAAUGUUAUCAUUAGAGAAGAACUAUAAGAGAGAGAGAGAGAAAUUUUCUCCAAUGAGAGAGAGAGAGAAAUUUUCUCCAAUGCAGAGAUCUCAUUUUAACAAAAUGAGGAGGCUAUUAAGAUAUAAAAAAUAUAGAUGUUAAUGCACUGACAUACAAAAAUACAUUCUCUGAUGUAUUUAAAUAUGUAUUUUUUUUUUGUAUUUUAGUAAUUUCUUCACUUUAUUAAAAUAAAGAUGUGUGUGCGUAUAGAGGAUAAAAUGAUUGCUUUUUUGAAAUGAUAGAGGGUUUUGCUUGUUUAUCCAAAUGAAAUACCUCAAGCUAAUACGAGAAAUUAUUCAUUCUCUAUAUUCUUUCUUUUUUUUUUCAUGAUGUUAGACCUUAUCCUAAUUUAAAGUAUUUGUGAUAGACGUGUAUAUAUUGCACACAAAUUGGAGAAUUUAUGUUACAUUAAUAAGUUUUAUGUAAUUGUUUUAAUGUGGAAACUUUAAAUUCUUAUUUACAUUGAUAAAAAUUAGGAUUGAGUAUUUUAUAUGCCAUUUUUUUAAUAAUUUAUAAAUUUAUAGUUUGAAUUAUAUAGUUUAAAUUUUAUAAUUUAUAUUUGUACUUUUGAAAAGAAAAAAAAAAGGAAAAUCAUUGGGUGCUGAUAUGAGUUUGGUAAUUGCUCAAACUUGCAGUGGGCGCAAUGCGGAUUUAAUAAUUUUGUUAUUUUGCGGCACCCGAGCAUGGCCGUUGCCAUCCCCACUAGUGAUCUCAUUAAGAAACUUUGGCGCGUUUGCAAGUAGAUUCAUUCUCUUUGGACAUUACAUUAGAUUUUAGAGAAUUGUUAAUUGUCUGUAUACUUUAAUUUGUACGAGUAAUUAAUAUAACCGGCCAAAGAAGAGGACAGCGUGAAAGUGAUGGUAAAGGAACUAAACGAUACGUUACUUAACGGCUGUUUUCCAAAUAAAAAAUAAAAAAAUUUUAAAAAAAAAUCUUAACGGUCUUUUUGGUUCCCCUAUUACCCUAUAUAUAUAUAUUGGAAAGAACGUAAUUAAGUAAAUUUUUUUUUUCCUCGGAAGAACAUAAUUAACUAGUUGCUUCUUUCGCUUUCCCCCUUUAAUUUGCCUGGGAAGCGUAGCCGAACUGCCAAAAAGUAGUGGGCUUUUUCAUCGAAGCAUGCCCACUUCACGUGGCUUGCGAGUCGUGCCUCUCUCUUCUUCAUCGAACAACCAAAGAAUAUGGUUAAUUUGAUUUUUUUUAAUCGUAAUAAUAAUGCAUUAAGAACUCUGUGGCAAAGUUUUAAUUCUUAUGACAGUUACACUUUGUUGUGACCCCAUACUAAGCUGUUUCUAAGGUUUUUCAUAAUUCAGUGAUAUACGUUUUCUUUUUCUGUUUUCUUUUAAUUACUGCAAUUAUAUGUUUAUUAAUAUUUAUAUUAGAUAUUUAUUGAAACCAUUUAAAUCAAUUUUACUCUGACAUAAUUUAAAUUUUUAUCGUCACAAAUAUUAAAGUACAUCUUCUCGACCAUAAAUCAAUAAAAAGGAUAUCUACCUCUAUUCAAUUUAAAAAAAUGAGAAAGAAAAUGAGAGUCUCUUUACAACUCGAACUACAUAGUGGCUUAAUUGAUAUUAUGUAUGUUUUAUUUUUCUUUUUUUUUUAUAAAAAAAUUAGAUUAUCAUGUGUAUGUAAAGAGUGCCCCCGUUGUAGAUUGACUAUUAAAAUGAAACAAAAACAUGAGAAAUUUUAAUAAGUAUUGUUGUGAUCAUAAUUUAUUUUACGGUGUUGUGAUUAAAAUCACUGCAUCAACACUGUGAUUGAACAUAAAUUAUGUAAAUGAGUAUAAGAUAAAUUGUAUAAAUAAAAUAAAACUUAUAAAUGAAAAAUAAAAUAAGUAAAUAAAUAUAAGAGUAGUAAAUUAGUGUAUUAUUGGUAAACUAAACAAAAGCCUACAAAUAAAAUGUAAAAUUUAUAAAUCAACAUUAAUGCGAAAUAAAAUAUAAAUUAUAUAAAUUAAUAAUAAGACUAAUAAAUAAGAGGUAAAACAAGCAAAUUAAAAAAGAGAAAUUAAUUGACAUAUUAUUGGUUAAAAUUUAAAAAUUUAAAAAUAUAAUAUAAAACUAGUAAAUCAACACUAUGUCAAAAUAAAAUAUAAAAUUUGAAAAUAAAAUAUAAGAUGUGCAAAAUGAAAAAUAAAAUAAGUAAAUUAAUAUAAAAUUGGUAAAUCAAUAUAUUAAUGGUAAAUAAAUUAAAAACUUACAAACAUAACAUAAAACUAGUAAAUCAAUAUUAAAUGCAAAAUAAAGCAUAAAUUUUGAAAAUGAAACAUAAGAGUGAUUGAAAAAAAAUUACAUGUGUAAAAUAAAAACUCAUUAUAAUAUUGAUUACUUUAUAUAUAAAUUGAUUUUAUUUUUAAAUUGAAUAAUAAUAGUUUUGGAAUUAUGUAAUACUAGUGCUGUUUUAUUAAGGAUAAAACUUAUUUUCGAAAUCAUAUUUUAAAAAAACUAUUUUUCAAAACUAUUGUAAGAUGAAGUGAUUUUGAUUUUUGUAUCAUUCCACACCUCCUCAACAACAACCCCAACUAAAUACAAGCAAGGAACAAGUUUAAAGUUACAUGAAUGAAAUAUACACUAGACUAAAAAAUUAUACAUAAUUUUAUCAAUAUAUCAAAUAUUUUUCUAGUAAGAUAAGAAUAUCCUUUUAUUUUGAUUUGACUUGAUCCACAUCAAGACAAAUAUUUUCACUUAAUCAAUUUGUGUAGAAAACAAAUAUUAUGUAAAAAAUGAAACAAAAAGUUUAUAAAUGUCCUAUAAUGAAUAUAUAAUUUAUGGUUAAACUAAUUUAAUAAAACUUAUUCUACUUGUUUUCAAUAAUUUUUUUUUCAAUUGAUGAGUUUUUUUGUUUAAAUAAAAUAAAUAAAUAAACUAUUUUUUUACUAACUGGAAACUAUGUUAAUUGUGUUAAUAAUUUAUAAUUUUAUAUUAAUUUAUUUAUCUCACCUUUCAUUUAUUAAUCAUAAGUAUAAUUUAAAAAUUUUAUAUUAUCAUGACAUUGACAUUGAUGUCAUAACAUUAUAAUAUUUUGCUGUAAUUGUAUAUGGCUUUCGUUUGGUACGAUGAAUAGAUAACAAAUGGCCAAAUAAAUAAACCUAAUUAAAUUAAUAAAAAUGAUUAAGUUUGGACACCCUUGACUCUAUAGUUUCACUAGUGGAAGUAAUAGCUGAAUUUAUAGGUUUCAAAUAUUUUAAAUAUUUUUGCCUGACUAGGAACUGGGACAAUCUGAACCAAACUGAACCCAAAAUUUGACUCGAGUUCUAUUUAGUUUGAGUUGACUCUUAAACCUGAAUGAGUUGCAAACUAAAACCUAAUCGGUUUGGAUUUCGGUUCGGGUAUAAUUUCAGUAUUUACUGUUCACUUCUACGAAAGCUGACAGCACCCAGCCACCCACCAACUCAAAUCCCUCAGCAGUAAGCUAACCGUCGUCAUCCUCGUUAGUCUCCGUCAUCAUCUUCCAGCCGCGCGAACGAACGGCCCCCGUUGAGGUUUUUUUAUGGCCGUCGUGUUCGUCAUCAGUUCCUAUCCAUUCAUCCUAAAGUUUUCAACUUUUUUCUUUUUGCUGUUCCAUAAUCCAUCGGUGUUCGAUGAUCAGAUUAAACUAAAUACAGCAUGCCCAUUUCCUUAUAUUCUCAAAAUUUUGUAUCCUUUUUCGAGUAUACUUCCCCAAUGUUUUGGAUUAGUUUAUUUCGGAUUUAUUGUUGAACGCAAAUGAAUUGAAUUCUCCAAGUUGUUAUCUAAACCAAAACCGAGUUGAAUUCUCCAACUCUGAAUUAACUUUUUAAUUGGCAACUCUCAUUGUAUUAUUUUAACUCCAAUUGGAUCUAACGGUCCAUAUCCGCAACUUACUUUUUGGAGGAAAAGUUUUUGUGAUCCCUCGGGGUAAAGUUUUUAGGCGCCUAAUGACCAAAUGACUGGUGACAAUGGCAUUUAUUUUAUCUAUUACAAAAACUCUCACAUAACUACUCCCCAUUUUAAAAUAAUUAUUACUUCUACCGAAGUUAAAACAACUCUUAAUUAUUUUUAAAAUAUGAUGGAUUGAAUUAUCUUAGUCUUGUUGAUGUGUAAGCACUAACAAAUCACAAGUGGUAGAGUGGUGAGGACCUUCUUAUCUCGUUCUUGAGAUACUAGAAUUUAAAUCUUUCCAUAUCGAUUGUGAACGUUAAUUUUCUUUCAAGUACCUAAAAGUACAUACCCCCUUAGCAACAGAAUGAACUCACGAAGAACAAAAGGUUUGGCUCGGGCAUGCCAAUGCUCUAAUGCUUUCAGCCAUUCAUGGCCAGCUGGUUCAUAACAAGAUGAUUGUAAAAUCUUUGGGUCUUCAUAGUGGGCCGCCUUCUUGAUGGUACAACUGUUUUGGGCUGUUCGAUGGCAGAACCCAAGCUGGUUUUGAAGACUGGCCAUGGCAAUGAGAAUGCAUUAGAAGUAGGCUUAAUUAACAUAGCCCACGGCCCCAUCUGGAUGAGAAGUUGUUGUGUUUGCCAACGAGUGAAUCGGCAGAUGCUGCCAUAUUUCCGAUGCGUCCAAAAUGAAGCAGAGAUGCCACCAAAACAGUCAACACUAAUAAUUAUUCCGAGACAAUCCAUUUAUUUAGCCGAGAUAUGCAGCAGGCAAGCAACUCCACUUUUAUAUCGUGUCAUAGUCAUCCUACCAAUAGGAAAAGUGCAUCCUUUUGGUUUGGUAAAUUAGUAAGUUAUUAUGUAUCAAAAAGAAAAAAAAAAAACAGUAGAUUAUUAUCCCUUUGAGCCGAAGCUUCGUUUGGACGUGGAGUUAAUAUCAUUCUAUCGACAAUGCAGGAAAAUCUCACUUACACAUGUGAUGUUACGUCAAAUAUUCAACACUCUAAUAACAUGUACAUGUUCAAGUUGAAAAAUAACCUCACAAGUUACUUGAUACUCUAGCUACAUUGUGAAUAAAUGAUUACAUACUUUGAUUUUCUUUCCCCCAUUUAUUUAUUUAUUUAUAAAUCAAAAUCACACUUCUUUCACUAUUUUUUUAAAUGCUUUAGUGAUCAUUAAUUUUUUGAAACUAUUUUUUUCCUCAACUUUACUCCCACAACCAUAAAAAAAAUAAAAAUUACUCUUUGUAAUACUCAUGAUUUGUUUAUUUUAAGGGUUAGAUUAUUUCAACUUAAAUUUAUAUAUUAAAAGAUGUUCCCAAUAUUACUGGCUGUUUCUUGAAAUUGAUAAGAUGGACUUCGUAUAUCAUCUUUAACAUAAAAAAAUAAAAAUCUUAUAAUAAUCUAAUUAGUAUUACUAACUAAUAUUAUAUUUUUUAAAAGUAGGAAAUUUCUUAGUAAAUUAAUAAUUUACUACUAAAUUAAUAAAUUUUUUUAUGUCGAACAAAGUUAUUAAUUUAUCGGAGAUUUAAAUGUAUAUAAUUUUUUUGUUUGAACCGCUUACAAAUGGUCCCCAACAAGGAAGGUUUUGUUUAGUCCGAACAGGAAAUACGGUUAUUUACGUAAAAAGGAGUAGAUGCGGAUACGAAACUAACGGUCCAUUACCAUACCAUUACAGAGACUAACCACGUGAUGGUACGAAACUUGAAACCGGUUUAAGUUACUGUCACUUGUGCUAAUCUUUUAGAUAAUUGUAUAUUAAUAUUAUUUUAAUUAAAACAAAAAAUAUCAUUAUACGCCAUUCUGUGCGAAGCUGUGACCAUGGAAUGAAUGAUCAUAACAAAGCUGUGUUCUGUCCUGUUCGUUAAUAUUUAUCUCUCUUUUCCAGGUCUGUCCCACUUCUAUUUUUCUCAAUCACGUUUAAUUUUUUUGUGAUUUUAUUACAUAACGGUGUUUUCAAAUUCAAAUACACAUAUGGGUCACUUUAGUUUUAGCUCUUGUAUUUACAAUUUCUAUCUUUUCUUGUAAGUAUAUUGAUUUUUUUUUUUUUGCCCCCUCCCUUUCCUUUUCUGUGGCUUCAAUUUAUUUUUUCCAAUAUUUUAUCUUAGCACGCGGCUGAUAAUAUUUGACAAGAAAACUGGUGUCAAGGGAUUUUGUGGGGCUUGAUGUAGAGUGCUUUUGUUUUCUAAAUUUUGUGUGUUUUGGUUUAUUUUGUUGUUCUGCUAACGGUAUGUAUCACUGAAAAUUAUAUAUUUUUCUUAUUUGUCAUUUUUUAUUGUUCAUUCUGAUCUUUGUUUAUUCGUUUGUAUUUGUGAUUUCUCUGUUAAUGGGUUUGUCACUUGCUGAGUUUUGAAGCUUGAAAUCUUUCAAGUGCUUUGAGGUUUCAAAAUUCUAUAUUUCAGUGUGGAUGGGUUGGGUGGAGUGACUUGUGUAAAUUCUACAUACACUAAUCAACAAUCAUAAUUUAUGAUGAUGUAGGUUUUUGAAUCUUUUUCUAAUUAGCUUUUAUUUAUUAUCGGAUUUUUCAGGUUUAAGAUUUGAGUUUGGAAUAAUGAAGUUCAGAAAAGGGGAUUCGGUUGAGGUACUGAGAAGAGUACAUGAUCCAUGUGGCUCCUGGUUUCCUGGAACUAUAGUUUCAGUAGAUGGAAAUGACUAUGUCAUUAGGUACAAAUUUCUGUUGGACGAUGAAGGAGAGCUAAUCUUGGAGAAGGUUCCUGGUGUGGACAUUAGGCCUCUGCCCCUGUGCGAGGCAGCAAACAGAUGGAGGGUUGGUGAUAUAGCUGAGGUGUUUGAUAAUCAAUGUUGGAGGGUUGGCAAGAUUGCGAAGGUGCUGCAGAACAAUGGUUAUGUAGUUAGGUUGUCUGGGUCCAUCCAGCUUAAAGAAUUUCACGUAGCUAAUAUAAGAGUUCGGAAGUCUUGGCAUAACAGUCAGUGGUCAGUGACUGGGAAGGUAAAGACAUGUUGUCUCUCGUUAUUUGACCUUGUGUGCAGUCUGGUAUUACCAGUUGGUUGUAGUUAUAUUUACCUCUAUUUCAUUUAAUUGUUUAUUUAUAAUUCUUCUUUCAGUUUACCUUAUGAACACGGCUGUGGUUUUCUUUUCAUGUUUCGCAUCACUGCUUAAUUAAAAGACUUGAUUGUUGCCUAAUUAAAAGACCUGAUUUUUUGUUCUGACAAAAAUCAAAUGACAUCUACCUUCUUGAGUUUGUGGAGGAGGAUUAUGUGUAUAACUGCAGCGUUACUAAUCUCUUAGCAAGUUAAGAGUCAUAAAUGAAAACCAGAGUACUUUAAUUAUUAUUCACAAAAUCUUCAGUUUUGGUGGUAGUUUUUGGCAAUUUAGGUUUAUCGGGAUUAUGUCAAUAGAACUACAGCGUUAGUUUUGUUUUCUUUAUAUAGUCAUUCAAGCUGAUUUCCAGAGCUUUUCAAGUUUCUGAUGAUGUAUGCCUUUGCUUUCAGGUUGCUCAAGAUAAACAGUUCACCACCAAAAACGAUUCAAAAUAUUCUUUGGACUUGUUGUCAAUAGCUCCAUCACUAAAGAUAGGCAAGGAUUUGCCCCUAGGGGAGGAUGGCCGCAAUGAUUCCAAAAUGUAUUUCCGAAUGGGAACCAUGAAAAGGUGCCAUGCUGACUAUUUUGAAAGAAACUCCAGGAACCUGGUUAUUGCAGGAAGCCACAAGAAAAGAAAUUCAAGUACUUGGGCGGGCGGAUGCAAUAGACCUCAAACAGGAACCCCUCCUCUCUUUAGACAGGUAGUUGAUAUUUCUUUCCCAAGGGUUCAAUUGGAUGAGAAAUUCAUUGGAGGAUCCACUGAUAUGGAAACUAAAAUGGCUAAAGCAACUACUGACGGGUUUCAUAUUUCUUCUACACCGCUUUUGUCUAAUGAAAAUAGCAAUCAAUGUUCUGUUGCUAGCUGUAGUUCGAAUGAUUUUGAUGACCAUCCUGCCGAAAAUGUUCAUGCAUCAGUAGAAAAUAUAUCUAGCAAUUCUGAUGCCGAGUCAUCAUUUCCUAGUUUGUCCGGCAAAAAACAUGAAUUCCCAUCUUCUAGACACAAACUCGAGGUCGACAUCCAUGAAUUAGAACUUCAUGCAUACGAGUCAACGGUGCAGGCACUGUAUGCUUCAGGCCCGUUAAGUUGGGAGCAGGAGUCUCUCUUAACAAAUCUCCGCCUCUCCCUUAACAUAUCAGAUGAGGAACAUCUACUCCAGUUGAGACACCUGUUGUCUGCUCAAGUUGCCUAGCCAUUGUUUUCCUCUACAUCCUCAGUCGUCAUAGCUCAGGUACAAUUGUCUUACAGGUGAACCGAAUAGAAAUAUUAAAGUUCCUUUCUUGUAAAUGUCCAGUGGCCGGAAUAAUUUCCUAAUUUGUGUAUUUCUAGAUUAGAUCAACUGUACAAAAUAAAAGUUUCCUUUUCAGCAUCCGUCUUAUUUAGUGGUGUAAUAGUUGAUAUCUUGAGCGACUCAUUCCCUAUUUCAAAUUGCUCAUGCUUUGAUCCUUGUGCAAGUUAAACUGAAUCAAUAAAGCCGCAGACUAAGUUUCAUUUCAAAACAUUGUCAUUUGGUGAAAUAUUCAGCUCACUAGUUUCUGCAUGGAACCUUUAGUCAUAGUUUUGUGAAUGACAGCACUAAAGCUUACUUCGCCGAUGAAAAUUGGCUUUGCAUAGUGUUGCUUUCUCCUGACUUAGUGGUUCAAACAAAACGAAACGAAACACAUUUAAAUAAUUUAAUUUUAUGUUCCUGUUUCAGGUGCUAAAAUUGAUUCAAAGAUAAGUUGAAAUUAUGAGAUAAUUCAGAAUAUUUGCAAGAAUUUAAUAGUUCUUUGGCUUACUUUUUGCCAAGAAAGAGGAACAUGGCCUAUAGGGGCAAUGGAAUGGAAAAUCCAGAAUGACUUCAACUAUGGUGCAGUUGCUAUUAUCAGUUGGAACUGUUUCAAAAGGUGAAAGAGGAAGACAAUCACUCUACUGGAGUUCUAAAACACAAUUUCAUCAGGUAACCUCUCGGGCAGACCCUAUAUGAAGGAGCUGAUAAAUCAGCUUGAUCUGUUAAGAAUCUCAGGGUUUCUGCAGUGGAUAUACUUCAUUUACAAAAUUUAUCUGAUACACAAAUUGGAGUAACCUAAAAAUUCGGUAUUGCAAAGGAGAAAGGACAGAAAAUUCAUUCAACAAUUAGAUGUAGCAUGUUAACAUGUUCAACGUGGAAGAUAUUUUGACCCGUUGUGGAACAAAUAGCAACAAAUGUUGGACUCCUUUAAGUCAGAGUAUCAUGCAUCUGCAUCCUCGUGCAUCCUGGGGACCUUCAAACCAUCGAUCCCAUAUUGGAUUUAUGGGGCUGUUUGUUCUGUGAUUGAAACAAGAUUAACCAAAAAGCAUCAGAGAUAUAAUAUCAACUUUAAGACUAACAAGGUAAGCAUAUACAUUGUUUGAAAUUACACUGAGAGAAGUGGAUCAGGUCUGGCUUCCAUAAACUUUAGCAAUCUGAAAGAGAGCAACAAAUGUGCAAUUAGUCUGAUCAAUCUUUUUACCAUAUAUUUUAUGAGAGUCAAUGCUCUGCUGUAUACUAUGCACAGUAUGCUACCAGUAUUAGUGGACAAAAAAAGGCGACGGCUGGGAGGCCCUUUGUUAUGGGUUGCUGACAGUAAACCAAACAGAGGAAUCCAAGUCUCCACUAAAUCUAAAAUAAUUUAAUGUUGGCUAAAAAGAACAUUGUAAUCUCCACUCACAGCAUAGUUCAAAGAAUGUAUACUUACUCGUCACAUAUUGUUGAGACAUUCUCAGUUUUAUCAAGCUCUUCCAACUCUUCCUGUAAAGAAAAUAAUAAGAUAAUAUCAACCGAGGACGCACUAUAAAUUGUAAUAUAUAUCCCAAGCCAUCCAAAAUUUUGAACUGAUUUUAAUUGAGAAGUACAGAUGAAAAUACUAUAAAAGAUAAUACUUAGUAAAUCUGUAAACAGUGUUGGAAAAUGCCCUGAGCAACUAGGAAACUGAUGCUAACAUACAUGAUGUAAUAACAGAAUUUUUUUUUCUUUUUUGCUUUUUCCUUUUUACUAGAGUUGAAAGAAAUUUCUAGAGCAUGUGAACAAACAGCAUAUAAGCAUAGAUACCAAUAUGGUAAUAAUAGCAAUCUCAGAGCGUCGCACGUUAUGUUUACUGUAGGAGAAUCGUAGGAAUUUAGAUAACUUUUCUAUAAUAAUAGACAAAAAGUUUGAAAUAGCCUAUAAUUAUGCCAAAAAUAUAAAAUUCUCAGUGUAACACCCAAGAAUCUUGGUGGACAAGCCAUAGUAUUGAGAAGUCCUGUGUUAUCAAGGAGGUAAAUAAACCUAGGCCAUCAAUGAUUCUGAACAAGAAAUUGGGCUUGAUCAAGCACUUUGUGGCGAUGUUAUUCCACACAGUGCACUCCAAGGAAAAGAAAGUUUACUUUAAUUUGGACUAUUCUGAAAGUUUAGCAUAGUCAGUCAAGAAUGCAAUUAUUUACUUCUUUGCAAUAUCUUCAAAGUCCACAAACUCAUCCCAAAUAAUUUCUUCUGGAUGAAAGAAAUUUUGACAUCCUACCUCUCGCAGCCAUGACAGUAAUGCUCUAAUGCAUUCUUAUAUAGAAUUUUGAUCACUAUUUGUCACCAGCAAUGCAACAUCAUCAUGAAAUUAACAGGUUCAAGCAAAAUGGUUUCAUGAAGAAAACAGUAGAAAAUUGCAUCAAACAUCCCUAAGACAGAUUAAAAAAGGAAAAAAAAACUCACAAGCAAAUGGUAACACAACACAGAAAAAUCAGCUCGAUAACAAGUCUAGAAUCAGAUUACUGUUUACUUUUACUUAUAAGUACCAAAACCCAGAAAUCAGAUUAUAUCUUCUCUGCUCAGUACAGAAGCUCAUCAAGCACUGAAAACCUUAUGUGCCUGCCUUGGCUUAACUCACUAAUACUAUAAAAACCCAAAUCAUGGAAUUAACCAGAAAUCCUCAUCUGAUGCUAUCAGCCAAACCAAGCCCACACAGUGUCCACAAAUGUCAAAUGCAUAGAUGCAUUAUGCCAUGCUGACUGUUCUAAACUCAAACUCCAGCCGUGUCAUACCACCAAAUCGCCUCCCCCAAAUAACUCUUAGGAGUUUAGCUGCCUCCUAAAGGUUAGAAACAAACAAUACUGGACAAGGAAUAUGCUCAUGAACAUCAAGGAUUUCAAAGCGUUUUUAGAACCAAUCUGCUUCCUUUUCCGUCAUUCUUAUUACAAUCCUCCACCAUCCGCGUGAUUUUUUUCCCCUUCUAAAAGGGAGGAAACAUCAAAAGGAAAAGUUGUAAUCUUGAAUAGAGAAGUAUAAAAAGUAUUUUCCUUUAUAUUUUAGGAAAGAAAAUAAAUUCCAAAGCUUCGGAAAGACAUCAACUUUAAACCAAAAUAUAGACUGAAUAUAGUACCAGGGACAGUUAAAAGUCUAAAAGAAAAAGCUUUGAACCUAAAAAGGCAAUUUCUUUCUCCUCGAAUCCCUAGUACACUACUCUAAAACCACCAUUACGACUCCCGUUCUUCAGUGCUAAAAACAAGGCAAAUUUUUUUUUUUUUUUUUUGGGGAAGAAAUUAAUAAGCACACAGAAUAAAACAAGUAUUAAAAAAAAAAAAAAACCUCCAAGAAUCUUGAUUCUUGCUCGACACGUUUCAGUUCGGCGAGAAUCCGAUGCUUUCCAGUCGUAUCGGUACCUCCCCCGGCUGCUGCUCUUGAACCUGCCAUCUGCUCAUCCCCCAACGACGCCGUUUCACCGUCCAUUAUUAUGAUUCAAAAUUCAGAAUUCAGAUACGCCAAGAAGUGUUCUCAUUCAUUCGUUCAACGACGUUGCGGCUGCUGCUGCUGCUGCUGCAUCGUAUGGAAAUGGAUAUGCAGAUGCCCCUGCAUUCAAAACGCAGAUCUGACUCAAUCCAAAAGCAAACAGUCCGUACUAGUUUGAUUCUUUCUUCUGACAGCGUAAUCCCCCAACCGGCCCUUGUUUCUCUGUACACACCAAUCACUUUCCUCUCCAAAGCUGUUUUUCUUUUCUCCUUAAAAUAAAAAUCAUAUCAAAAAACCGAUUUUUAUUUUUAUUUUUUCUCCUUUUUGUCGUUUUUAAUACAUGACAACGGUUUGAGGGAAUAUAAUAAGGAAUUAAAAAAAAAAAAAAACCGCAAUUUGACUAGUCAAAUUACAUUACGGCGUUUGUAUGUGGAAACGAAACUCAUUUGCUGCUUUGCUUCCCGGGUACUAGCCAACAGAUCUGGUAAUUCGUCUUGUCGUAUUAUCUAUCACACCAGAUGGUGUUGUUCCCAAUUAAUUUUAUUUUUUUUUCGUUUUUUUUAACGCACAAAUCAAUUAUUGUUAUUUUUUUUUAAGCAUUACAACCUGGGUUUAAAAUAUAAUUUGAACUCUGAGAAUUUAGAUUCACAAUCAUACAGCACAAAAUUUCACCCAACAAAUAACUUUUUAACUACUAUACGCGGUUUGUUUUUCUAUUUCUUUUAGGGGCAGCUUUGCUGUCUUGCAUUAUUCCGCUAAGUAUUAAACUAACAAAUAAAUAAAUAAAACAAUUUGAGGCCAAAAAUUCAAAAGUGAUCUUUUACAGCGGUGUCGACAUGAGGCACGAAUGUCUAAAUCAACUAUUUAUUUCCUUAUCUCUUUUGUAUUUUUUUUAAAAAAAAAAGUAAAAAAAAAUUGUAGCUGCUAUGAUUUCUGAGUGGGGUGGCCACUAGGAACAUCCUUUAAAAAUAAUAAUAAUAAUAAUUGGCCAGCUAAUGGGGUUUCUCCAUUUUCGUUUGCAAAGUGACUUUCACUGUUGUCCUUUUCCUGUUUUGCCCAUUGUUUUAUUCUAUGUAAUUCCUCUGCAAAUUUUACAAUAUAUUUAUAAAUAAAACGUUGCUUGGAAUUAACAUAGAAAAGGCGGCCAUCCCACACACAAACGUAAUCUUGUGAGAAAAAGGAAAAAAAAGUCAUGAGAAAAAUCUAACAAAAGUGAAAACAGUUGAGAUGUUAUUGAAGUAAAUGAUCACGAGUACAUCAAAUAUCAUGUUAUCAAUCAAGCCCAAUUAGAAAAAGAGGGGAACCGACAAAGCAAAUGCGUGCAAUAUAUUCUCCCAUUCUAAGCCAUUUCAAGCUCACCCUUUGAGACAGCUGGAGGGAAGUCUUCAGCACCAUAAGCUGAAUUAAUCCUAGACUCGUACUUCUCCCCAUCCCCCCACAAUGCAUAAGCUUCCUCUCCAUGAAUGGCGUCGUCUCCAGUUUGCAACUCUUCAUCUGUCAAUCUAAGCGGAACUACAAUCCUUAUCAACACGCAUAUGACACUGGUGGUGAAAAUGUUGAGAGCAAUGACAAACGAAAUUCCUAGCAACUGAACUCCCAUUUGCCUGAAUCCUGCAGAGGCGCGGUUGCUCUGGAAGCCAUAGGCAAGGCCAAUGUAGUGUUCCCAGUCAUCAACCAAGUAGAAUAUGCGAUUAAGUUUUGGGUUCGCAAAGAAUCCAGCAAGGAUGCCGCCUAGGCUGCCGGCGACGGCGUGCGUGUGGAACACUGCCAUGGUGUCAUCAACUCGCUUUAGCAUUGGGAUUUUCUUGUGAAGAACCAUCAUUGUGUACCAUGGAAUGCUGCCAGACAUCAUUCCCAUCAGUAUCGCUGCCCACCCUUGCACCACUCCUGAAUUUACGAGUCCCAAGUUAUAUUAAUAUUACUAAUACUACACUAAUUACUUUACUUAUACAGUUUUUUUUUUUUUUUGUGCACUUUACUUAUACAGUUGAAACUAAAUAAUUAAUUAAUUAAUAUCUCCAUCUGACGUACGUAUAACGAUAAGAAUUCUACUAUAUUUAACGAACCAAGGAGUAGAUAGUUUAUCCGAAAUGAAAUCAUGUGAUAGUAUAUUGGUGAAGUUUAUUUUCCGGGUACCUGCAGCAGGGGUGAUGCGUGCAAUAUAUUCUCCCAUUCUAAGCCAUUUCAAGCUCACCCUUUGAGACAGCUGGAGGGAAGUCUUCAGCACCAUAAGCUGAAUUAAUCCUAGACUCGUACUUCUCCCCAUCCCCCCACAAUGCAUAAGCUUCCUCUCCAUGAAUGGCGUCGUCUCCAGUUUGCAACUCUUCAUCUGUCAAUCUAAGCGGAACUACAAUCCUUAUCAACACGCAUAUGACACUGGUGGUGAAAAUGUUGAGAGCAAUGACAAACGAAAUUCCUAGCAACUGAACUCCCAUUUGCCUGAAUCCUGCAGAGGCGCGGCCGCUCUGGAAGCCAUAGGCAAGGCCAAUGUAGUGUUCCCAGUCAUCAACCAAGUAGAAUAUGCGAUUAAGUUUUGGGUUCGCAAAGAAUCCAGCAAGGAUGCCGCCUAGGCUGCCGGCGACGGCGUGCGUGUGGAACACUGCCAUGGUGUCAUCAACUCGCUUUAGCAUUGGGAUUUUCUUGUGAAGAACCAUCAUUGUGUACCAUGGAAUGCUGCCAGACAUCAUUCCCAUCAGUAUCGCUGCCCACCCUUGCACCACUCCUGAAUUUACGAGUCCCAAGUUAUAUUAAUAUUACUAAUACUACACUAAUUACUUUACUUAUACAGUUUUUUUUUUUUUUUGUGCACUUUACUUAUACAGUUGAAACUAAAUAAUUAAUUAAUUAAUAUCUCCAUCUGACGUACGUAUAACGAUAAGAAUUCUACUAUAUUUAACGAACCAAGGAGUAGAUAGUUUAUCCGAAAUGAAAUCAUGUGAUAGUAUAUUGGUGAAGUUUAUUUUCCGGGUACCUGCAGCAGGGGUGAUGCAGACCAAGCCAGUGAUCAUGCCCUGAGUGGCACCAAUAACAGAGGGCUUUCCAAAGAAAAGAAUGUCGAGAAUAAGCCAAGUAAGCAGGCUGGUAGCUGUGCACACGUGGGUGUUAAGGACGGCUAGAGAUGCAUCUGUGCCGGCGUUGUAAGGGUCUCCACCGUUGAAGCCAGUCCAUCCCAUCCAAAGGAGACCUGCUCCUGCCAACAUCAGCAAGAUGUUGUUUGGAGGGAACCUCUCCCUGUCCUUGGUCGCCCUUGGUCCCACCUGCACAUUAAUCAUUUUUUGAACUUUAGAUUCAAAGUUGAUCACUUCAGUUAUAUAUACAUAUAUACGUAUUAUGACUACGUACGGUAAUGUAUUAUAUUAUAUUUUUCAAUUGGUAGGUAUUUAGUUAGUUACCACUUACCCAGUAAGCUGCAGUGAAGCCAGCGACACCAGAGGAUAAAUGAAUGACAAAUCCUCCCGAAUAAUCAAUAAUGCCUAGCUUAGCUAGCCAGCCUUCCGGGCACCAUAUACUAUAUGCCCCAAUGGUGUAAGAAAAGGUCAACCACAGCGGCACAAAUAACAUCCAUGCAUGAAAAUUCAUCCUGCCAAGCAAUGCUCCCGCAAUCAGGAUCAAAGUAAUAGCCGCAAACACAAACUGAAAGUAAACCAUUGUUGCAUUCGGCAGGUAGCCCGCGAAGGCUCGACUCAGGAGAAAAUUCUCGUCCAAGGAGACAUCGGGCCUUCCCCAGAAAUGAAUCAUCUUUUUCCCAAACGACAUCUGGUAGCCCCAUCCGACCCAGCACACCAACACGGCCGCGAAGGCGUAGAGGGCCAUGAAGGCCGAGUUCACGGCCCAUUUCUUCUUGACGAUGCUGCCGUAGAGGAUGACAAGGCCCGGCACGCUUUGGAGGCCCACCAGCGUCGCCGCGGUGAGCUGCCAUGCAUUGUCGGCUUUGCUCAUCCAUUCCGGGCUUGCGUCGUCAGGCAGCAAGUUCUCCGGGAGGCCACUCACAUUAAAACUCAUAUUCGGAAUCGAGUUGGGCUUGUCUUUCGAGGAUAUUAAAAUAACGAUGAUACUGCGCAGUGGAAUGAAUGGAUGGCGUGCAUUCCUUAUUUAUACAUAUUAAGAGUUUUUUUUUGGAUCUGCUGUAACAUGCUUGGAUUGUGUCACUUUCUUGUAAAUUGGUUGUGUAUAACGGACGACAAGACAGCUUUGUUCUGAAAUUAAUAAUUUGCCCUUGGAUUAUACAUGAGUUGAUAUCGUCAUUCUCGGGACAACUGCGUCAACAUAUUGGAAGAGGGUGUCUGUUUCUUCAUCAGCGGAGAAUCCAACAGUUGCUUCGCCAGGCACUGGAAAUUCCGCCCAUAACUGGUUCGCACUUCUAAUUAGACUUCUGAUUGAUACUUUCAAAGUGCUUGUGAUCAAUUGUGAGAUUGUUGGCAUAUAAAGUUAUAAAGGGGUAAUUUGGCUUUACUCAGUGAGCUAAGCUAUCCAGACCAGGAGGUCAAUGUGUAAGCUGUAGUUAAAUGAACGUAAUUGGUGAAUUCUGUUGCAUGAAAGCGAAGACAAAAUUGAUGCAAGAAUAUGUGAAAUCCUAGGCAAGCUGUGCUGAGAUGGGAAGUGAAAAUAUUGUUAUUAUUAUUAUUUUAAAGCCGAUAUUAGGUUCCGCAAACUUACGUAAUUAAGGUUUAUUAAUUAUCAAAUAUGUUGACAUAAACUUGUACAAGUUAAGUUUUUUUUUUUGGGUAUAAGUUAAUUUUGUAUAUACAGUACAUAGGGUGUAUCGCAUAAAUUGUCUUAUAAUUAUUCCCGAGUAUAUACAAUGCAAGUUUUUUUUCUCCCUUAUACAUUAUCAGUGGAAACCAAUUCAGUAAAAAAAUUCGACUUGUUGCUCCAAAAUUCUUAUGAUUUUUUUUUUAUUUGGUAAAAACGUCAAAGUUUAAUUCGUGAUAUUUUUAUUUCUCACGCUUUUGAAGAAUAAAUAGUUGAUUCAAUAUUUUCAAAGGAUCAAAUCUAGUUAUAAUGCUAAAAAACACAAACAGAUGAAAUAAAAUAUGUGGUUACGACUGAUUUUACAUUGUAAUUUUGAUAAAUUCAUAAUAAUCCAAAAUUUAAAAAAUAAUAAAAAUCAAGAUGUAUAACUACUAUAGUAAAAGAUUUUAAUUGCCUCUUAUGCAAGCUAUAACCUAUUAUAUUACUACCGCUUAUGCUCUUUGAGAAAGCCUUACAUCCUCCCCCUCUGAUUUACCUCGAGAAGAAGCUAAUAGAGAGAGAUUAAUGAAGAAAAAGAGUACUUAAAAUUUAUGAUUAACAAACUUUAUAUUUUCAAUUUCUUAAUACCAUGAAUUAUUAAAAAUAUCAUAUUCUCUAAAUCGGAAGUUAAUCUAUUAUUGGAUUUUUUAAUAACUUAUUUCAAAAAUAUUGAAUAAUUUAUUUAUUUAUAAAGGUUGGAGAUUGAUAAAACCUAACCUAAUUCUUUUUUUUUUUCUAUGAAAUUUAAUCCUAAUAAAAGCCUACUGAUAAUAAUCCAAAACCUAAUGUUAGAAUCAACUCAAUUUUGACAACUAGUGUCUGGUGGUAUUAUGGUCAUGUUAUGAAUUGAGGUGUUACAACUUUUAAGGUUGGAAAAAACUUUAAUUAUGAAAUAUAAAUUAAUAAUUUGUGGUGCAUAUAAAUUUUAAAUAAUAAUUUUGAUAAAAUUAUUAAAUAUAUAAUAAAAUUUUUAUGAUACAAGUAAAAAAUUAUAUCAAUAUAACUUUCACAAUACAAUAGUUAGUAUUUACUAAAUAUUUUAACACUGUAAUUUUUAAGUUACAGCUAUCCAAUUUUAAUUUCAAACGCACCCUAUGCCAUCAGAACUUCGAACAAAUUGUCACCGAAUUUGUGGUGCCUGUGAGUCACAGGUUUAAAACUUAGAAAACUUUUUAUCUAGUGGUGCCAACGAUCAAAGCAUCGGGACUAAAAAGAUAUUUCAUGAAAAUGACUGUGAAUUAGACGAACUUCAACUAAAGUGGUGCCGACGGAACAAGCCAUUAGCCACUCCGACCGAAAAAUAUUCAAUCCAACUAAGUGCGGAGCGACGUCGUCAGGGUUAGUGCUUCUUUUAAUCAAUUUUACAGUGUUCAAUAGGGGUGGGCAAAAUACCCAACCCGACCCGAUCCGAAAAAAUUCGGGUUCGGAUCGGUUCGGGUUGUUAUUGAAAUCCGAAUGGGUGAAAAAUUACAAACCCGAUCGGGCUGUGAUCGGGUCGGUAAAACCCGAUUCGAUCUGAAUAUCCGAUCGGGUCACACCAAAAAAAAAAAAAACCUGACUAAAUCUAUAAACACAUCACACAUGCACACACCACACACCACACACAAGGGCGCACACAAAGUCUCAACUAAAAAACAAUUAGCUAAAAAACAAUUGACAAAUAAAAAACAAAAUCAAAUUAUAACCCACGCACACAACCAUAUCUCGCUACUUUCACAGCCCUCAUCUUCACAGCCCUCUCAUCUUCACAGCCCUCUCAUCCUCACACUCAUGACUUCACGUGCACAAACACAUCCUCAUCCUCAUCCUCACGCUCAUGACUUUCACAGCCUGCAAACGCAGAGAAGAGAGCGGAGGAAGCACAGCCAGCGCAUGUAGCCACCUAACCCGCGACCGGAUCUACUGCUCCGCAACAUCCGUAGCUACCAGAUCUGCUGUUACCGGAUAUCUACCAAAUCUGCUGUUGCCGGAUAUCUACCGGAUCUGCUGCUACUAGAUCCGAUGCGCUGCUAUCGGGUCAGAUGCUGCUGGAUCUGCUGUUGCAGCCUCCACCAUCACCAGGAUCUGCUGUUGCAGCCUCCACCAUCACCAAGCUCCACCGCGAACUGGCAAUCUGAAUUCUUUUUUUUUUCUUGCUGUUUUGAUGGUAUAUAAUACUAUAUUAUAUAUUAUCUGUUAAUCGCUAAAUAUAUGUAUUGUUAAAUGUUAAUAAUAAAAUGAGGGAAAUUCUUGUAUGGAAAAUUUUGGAGCUUAAUUUAUUAAGUCCGUGGAAGCUUAAAUUAUAAGUAUGAAUUGAUUUUUUUUUUGUUUUGUUUUUAGUGAAUAGAUUAAGCACUAAAAUUAAAUAUUUUACUUUGAUCUGUGUAGUAGCUUCACUCGAUCCGAAUUAGCCCGAAUUUAAUCCGAUUAUUUGACCCGAUCCGAUCUGAUCCAAAUAUGUUCGGAUCGGGUCGGAUCGGGUUAUAACUUCGGGUUAAGUUAGGAUGAAUUCUUUUCUAACCCGAUCAACUCGAAAAUCCGAUCGGGUUGAUCCGAACUCGACCCGAACCCAAAAAUGUCCACCCCUAGUGUUCAAUCAUAAUAAUAUGCAUCCAAAAAAAAAAUCAUAAUUUUUUUGGGCAUAAUAACCAAGAAAUGAUUAUAAAAUUAAAAAAUAAAAAUAAAAAAAGUGAAAAAUAGGCCUCGCUGCUGGUGUAUGUGAUUGUAACCGUUCGAAUUUAUGGACCCCACAAGAGAACUAGUUAUGGCUCACAUAAAUUGCCCUUUUGUCUGAUUGGCGUGGGCGGGUCGUGAGGCCAAAACCAGUGUGUGUGGUUCACAUGUUUCAGUUUCACUUCAGCACAACGCAAGCAUUUUGUCUUUUCCUCACAUCGUCUCACUUCAGUUGGCUGUCGAGCCCUAGUUCUAAUUGCUCAGUUGCUCUCUCUCUGUAUCAGCAUAACAAUUCAGAACCCUAAGAUACAAUUAAAUUGCUUUUAUUUUGUAAGUGGGCGUUCCUCAAUUUGUUUCCAAGUUAGUGAAAAAAAAAAAAUCACAACUCUUUCUUUGCGGGAUUUCUUAGUUUUGUCAAUCCAUGGCCUCUUCAAUGCUCAAUGGAGCUGAAACCUUCACGCUUAUCAGAGGCAUGACCCCAAAGGGGUCAAGUUUCCUGGCUUCAGAUUUUCACGGGAAGCAUAUUCCCAAACUGAGUUUAAUUGCCAAGCCAAGAACAGUACAGUCUAUCAAGUGCAGUUUAUCAGCAACCUCUAGGCCAGCCUCACAGCCGAGAUUCAUUCAACACAAAAAGGAGGCAUUUUGGUUUUACAGAUUUCUCUCAAUUGUGUAUGACCAUGUGAUAAACCCCGGUCAUUGGACUGAGGACAUGAGAGACGAUGCACUAGAGCCCGCUGAUCUCAGCAACAGGAACAUGCUUGUGGUUGAUGUUGGCGGCGGCACUGGCUUUACCACUCUUGGUAUUGUUAAACAUGUGGAUGCCAAGAAUGUUACAAUUCUUGAUCAGUCACCUCAUCAGCUUGCUAAGGCUAAGCAAAAGGAGCCACUGAAAGAAUGUAAGAUUGUUGAGGGCGAUGCCGAGGAUUUACCAUUUCCUACCGAUUAUGCUGAUAGAUAUGUUUCUGCUGGGAGGUGCAUAUAUUUAUAUUUUGGCCUUUUUUUAUUGUUUGGUGGUUGAAACCAGAGUCUUGAUUGUUCAUGAUGGUUUUUUUGGCAUUUGUGUUAAUUUUUUCGAUUCUUGAGCUACUUGCGCUUGCAUAUACUAAAUAUUUCAAGUUAACUCGUCGGUCAUCUCUUCAUUGUUUGGUAUCUAUUAGACUAUUGGAAUCAAAUUAAUGCCUACCCCUGUGAGUUUGAGAUUCCCAAGGGUUUUACGUUUAAAAUUUGCUUACUUUGAUUUUGAGAGAGAAAAGGGGAGGGAUUACAUUCUUUGUAGUAUAUCUAACAAGGACUGUUGCGUCUUCUCAGUAUUGAGUACUGGCCAGAUCCACAACGUGGCAUCAGGGAGGCAUACAGAGUCUUGAAGCUCGGAGGAAAGGCCUGUAUAAUUGGUCCUGUGUAUCCAACAUUUUGGUUGUCUCGCUAUUUUGCUGAUGUUUGGAUGCUGUUCCCAAAAGAGGAAGAAUACAUUGAGUGGUUCCAGAAGGCUGGAUUCAAGGAUGUCCAACUGAAAAGGAUUGGACCAAAAUGGUAUCGUGGUGUUCGCCGGCAUGGGUUGAUCAUGGGUUGUUCUGUGACAGGUGUUAAACCUGCAUCAGGGGACUCACCAUUGCAGGUAACUAUUGUUUAAUACUUGAUGCAUUCUUUGGCAUUUGGUUAAACCUCUAUCUUGUUGUUUUUUCUCCUUGUAUGACUGCUUGACUACGUCAAAAAAAUUUAACAACUUUAUUAUCUGCUAUGCGAAAAAACCUCUGCAAGAACUUUAAUGUUGAUAACUUGCUUCCUAUAUGGUCAGUUAGUGAUAUUAUCAUAACCCUUAAGAAUUUUUUUUUUAAAUUCUUUUUCCCAUGACAUUUGCAAUGAUUCUAUUUGGAUCAAUGUGAAUACAUAUUUAUAAAUUCAUUUGAGAUAUACUUGAGUCACUAAUGUAGAUUCACUAUUAGGAUUUCUUGUCUGAAGAAACUAGAAGAAGAAAAUAAGGGAAAAAAAUGUCAACAAUCUUGGCAAUAGUAGUAGCUACAGUCUGUACAAAGUAGCUGAUGAUCACCAUCUCUAUAAUAUCUUGUGCAUUCCAAAGUCUUUCAUAGUUGGUGUAAAUUCCUCAGUGUUUUGGUUCUUUGGUAGGGGAAUCCUUUUUUCUUUUUUACUUUUUCCUGUUUUUGAACAAUUGUUGGCUUAAAAUCUUGCAACUCUCAAAGCAGCAAAUAGAAUUGGUCAGAAAAUUCUACUGAUUGGACUUCUUCCUUUAGAAAAUUUAGGUUACUGGAGAGGCUGUGAUAUGUGCAUUCAGGGAUAAGUUCAGCAUCAUCAUCAUUAUGUUGUUACACUUCCAUGUCUAUUAUCACCUUUGGGAUAACCUAGUUGGUUCAGCCCUUGCGGUGGAAGCAAGAGGUCAAGGGAUUGAUUUUCCCACACACCAAACUUGGUGGGAAAAUUCUUUAAUUAGUGUUUGUGCAUGGGGUGGGGGUGGGGGUGGGAUUCGGGUGUGUGAAGUGCCAAAAAGGAAAAAAGAAAUCCAUAUCAAUAUUGAAAUUUAGGACUAAAAUCCUAACUUGAGCAAAUAUGGGCUGAAAUUUACGUUAAAAUCUUUUCUUUCUUUCUUAAUCGGGACUGAACCCUUCUUUAUGCGGCUGAAUGGUGAAAAAAGGAUUUACUAGUGUAUAUUUUUAUACUAUAAAAAUCUUUUUCCUGUUCUUUGCAGCUUGGUCCGAAGGCAGAGGACUUAUCCAAACCUGUAAAUCCAUUUGUACUCCUACUGCGUUUUGUAUUAGGUGCCUUGGCUGCAACAUACUUUGUACUGGUUCCUAUAUACAUGUGGCUCAAAGAUCAAAUUGUACCCAAAGGUCAACCAAUCUGAGGACAAAUAAGAGCUGCUUGUGACACUUCUUAUUUACAGAUGUUUCUUUUGUUUCAUGGUUAAUAAUUUCCUUCCACUUUGAAUUUUUAAUCCUUAAGAACAAUAAAAAUAUAGUAUGGAAGUUAUUUUCAGAUGUUUUUGGGCAUGCAUUAGCUUAUCAUCAUAAUUCACAAAAUUGGCUUCUAGUUUUAAUUUUCCAAGUUUCAGAAGUCACGGGCGUAGUAAACGGGUGCAAAUGUUGUAACAGGUUACCAUUUUAGCCUUUUUGUUCUGUCUCAAAGUCCGUGUUAGUUAUCGUAGUUGGAGACUUAUAACUUCAAAAGUAUUAUAUAAAUACUUGACCUGUGAUUUAAAAGUCGAAUUGAUUUUUUUUUUAAUAUUUAUAUGAUGAAAAAAUUUAUAACAUCUUUAUUUUUUUUAUUAAAAUUAUUAUUUAAUAGUCAUUUUUGUCACUGUUAACUCAUUUUUAAAAAAAAAUUAUUUUUACUGCACAUUAUUAACUUUUAUCUUUAUAGUUGUAAUUUUUCUCUAUGGAAAGAGUUUUUAUUACACAUUAUUAACUUUUAUCUCAUGGUUAUAAUUUUUUCUCUACGCGAAAAGUUUAAAAGUUACAAUGCUUCGAUACUAAAUAAGGCCUAAAAUAUUUAGUGAAAAUUUUUAGUUGUUUCAAAAUUAAGUUGAUCUUGUGGUCGAUUUUAUUUUGCACUUGUAUAAUAUUUUUAUCAUUUUAAUGGUCACAAUAGCAUUGUCAUUGAAAACGUGGACAAUAAAAAUCAGAACUUGUGAGAUAUCCAUUGAUUUUAGAAUUAAAAUAUCCAUUUGUUUAUAACCAAAAUAAGCACGGGAUAGCAAGUUUAAACAACAUUUCCUAAACUCAUUUGAGUGACAUCUUUAUGGAUUGGAAAGUUUAUUUGAAUUGAAGAAAAUCUUGACCUAAAAGAAACAUUCAAUAAGACACAUUACAAGAAAAUAUGGGAAUCUGGACGGUCUAACAUACCUUACAUUGCAAAAGGAAAGCUCAAGCUUAAUGCCACAUUCAUAAGCUUUUCUCGUAAUGCCUAAAAGAUUCAAAUUCAAUGUCAAAUAAGGUGCCAAGGCAUAUACUGUUUUCAUAGAGGUUUUUAUUAGAACCCAAGCUUGGUUCCCCGCUUCCAUGAUCAAGAAGGCAACCUGGUUCCAGUUCAGAACUAAUCUCUAUAGGAAACCAAACCCCUUUGCCCAGAUGGGGAGCUUGAUCUGGAUCUACUCGGAGAUGCAGAAGAUGUUUUACCAUGAUUCUUUGGCGGUGAAGCCUCGGGAGAUUUAGAAUGAGAAGAAUCAAGGCUCCUGGAUCUGGACCUUGACCUGUAUCUUCGUUUGGCAGGUGAGUGCUCUUCAUCAAUUUUAGGACCAAGGCGACAUUUUAACCCCUCACUAAUGGUAGGACGCUUAUCUCUCGGACUAGAACUCCGGCUCUGGCUAUCAUCCCCGUAACGACCACGAUAUCCAUCUGGACUGCGAGAAAUGCUCCUACUUCGGCGGCUUCUUCGUUGGUAUCUAUUAAAAGAAUGAGGCAUACGUUAGUUCCUUCAGUAAUGGCAGUGCAUUUGCUUAGAAGACUAAAUCACACAACUUAAAAAGUCUUUGAAGAAAAGAAAUGAUUAUAUCCUAGUGCAGCCUAAAACUUAAGAACUCUACAAAAAAUAAAUUUAAUGAUGAGGUGAAUCUGCAUGCACAAAUUCUAACUUUCACACCCUAUAAAUCACAGACACAAGCACGGCAAAAGAAGGGAGAGAGAACCUGGGGGGACUCCGGCCUCUUGGUGGGCUUCUGUAAUGUCUGCGUGGAGAGCGAUCAGAAUAACCUCUCUGACUCGAAUACCUGUAUAAAAAAUCACAUAAAAUUAAGAUAUAUGACAAAAACCAGUCCUUAAAAAAAAGGAUAAAUUUGGAGACAACAUUGGCUUUUUAAAAUUUUUUAAUAAAUGAAAAUCAAAAGUGUAAUAAUGGAUAAAAAUCAAAAUAGAGAAUGGACCAGUUGUCCACUAAGCAAGCAAAAAAGACUAUACAAAAGUAUAACCGCAGCUUAAUUCAGUUAUAUAAAACUGUCAUUACCUAUUUUGGGUCCUUUCAUGAAUAUUUCUUCCACCAUAUCGGUAGUAUCUAGGAGGUGAACGCUCUGGAGUACGGUAACGACGUGCAAAAGAGUAUCGUUCAGUGAAGCCACGUCCUUUUCUAACUCGUUUGGGAGUGCCAUCUGGUGAUGGGCUUCGAGACAAACCCCGACUAUGGUUUGAAGCAGAAGGUUCAGAAACUCUGCGGGCAGGACUCUGGUCACCCAACUUCUUGGGAGGACUUCUUCCAUCAUUCCCCAGGAUCCUUUUCGGACUCAUGCUAGGGCUGCUCCUCGAUCUGUUGCUUGACCUUCUUUUGGGGCUAGGAGUCAAGCUCCUGCCAGUAAUGUAGCCAUAAAAACUUUAUCAACAGAAUUAGAUAAAAGUACUCAGGAUUGCAUGUGAAAAACAAAUAACAAUACAAUGUCAAGACAUUCAGAAAGAAAAGAAGAAAUCAAAGAGAAAAACCUGGAUUUGCUUGAAUUGUCAGAAUAGGGAUGUUGAUUGGCAGUUCUAUUAGAUUUUGCUUCAGUGCCAUGCCCGUUGUUUUGAAGCUUAUCAUUCUUCAGCAAUAAUUCACCUUCUUCAUGAGAUGAAUUGUCAUCAGUUUUCUUCAAAUCAUGAUUGCUUUGCUGUUCCAUAACAGUUCGUUUUCCUGAGGGCGGGGUCAGGGAUUUCUUUCCCACAUCUGUAAGGUGAAAGUCAGAGCCGAUAGCUUCAAUCCAAUUGUUAUAUUCAAUUAUCACUUGCACAAUCAUUACUCAAACACUCAGUACUCUACGUAAGUAUAUGGGAAAAAAACAGACUGCAUUGGUAAGAAAACAUAGAAUGACAUGCCCAGAUUUUGCGGCCCUUUAAUACUUCUUGACUUACCAGUUCUUUCAUCAGCAGAGCUGCCACUACUACUCAAACUCUCAGAAUCACUUGAACUCCUCGAACUCCUAUAAACAAAGGCAAUAUCAACAAAUAUAAGCCCAAUGAACAAAGGGGAAAAAAAUAGGGGCAGAAAAUAAUAUUUGAACUUGACCCAAAUAUAAACCAGACAUUUUAGAUCUGCGUCUCAACCGUUUAUCACGCUGACUUCUCCUCUUUUCCCUAUGCCCAUCCUUCUUUUUCCUUCCACGCUCUCGCUUACCUCUUUUAACUGGUUUCCUUUUCCUACGCCUUCUAUCACCAGAGGAACUUGAUUCAGAUGGUGAGGAUUCAGAAUCUGUAUCUGAAUCAGAUUCUGAAGAAUAAGAGUCAGAGCCGGAUGAAUCAGAUGAAGGGUAUCUCCUCUUCCUUUUCUGUCUUCUUUUCUUUGAAGACUUUUUGUGCCUUCUUACUGUUUCGCCAUCAGAACUAUCCUCUGAAGAAGAAACAUGGCUUGCUUUUUUCUUUUUGACUGAAGAAAAACCAUAUUAUGAAUUUUAUAUACUGAGACCAGAAAGAAUGUUAUAUACAAUUACAAUCAGUUCGAUAAGGAAAUCUGGACAUCACUGCUGCAACUCAUGCAGAUUACCUUUCUCUUUGCCAUCCUGAAUUUUACUUUCAGAAAAUUCACCACAAUCUAUAAUUUUAACAGGUUGAGCAGGUUUACCGUCACCUGUUCCCACCUGCUCAAUUUUCUUAACGAUGUUCAAUCCCUUUACAACCUUCCCAAAAACAACAUGUUUCCUGCCAAACAAUAAAUAAAUGAGAAUCUGAUAACUGACAAUAGACAAAAUCUCAUCCUGAUACAAUUAGAUGUUUUACAAGAUAGUCAAAGAAAAACAGUUAAAAGCUUGAGGUACCAUGCGGAAGAAUGUAAUAUGUAAGAAAACAUAAGAGGCAUUUUACCCAUCAAGAUGGUGUUGCCGCCUGAAGGUUAUAAAGAACUGAGAUCCAUUUGUGUUUGCACCACUAUUUGCCAUAGAGAGAAUGCCAGGUCCAUUAUGAUCCAGUUUAAAGUUCUCAUCUGCAAAGAAAAAGUAGACCUUCUGAUUAAUCAAAAAUAUCCAGCAUGCAUGCACAUUUAUCUUUACAUACAGAAAACCUACCAGUAAAUUUCCCUCCAUAUAUACUUUCUCCACCAGUGCCUGCAAACCAAUUAAAGGUUGUUCCUUACAAGUCUGGGCAUAAAUAUAGAAGUCAAAUAGAGAAUCUGCAUUCAAGAAAGCAAGUUUAUCCUUUAAAAAUGCCAGAAUAAUAGCGCAUACCAUUUCCCUUGGAAAAGUCACCACCCUGAAGGGGAAAAAAAGGUUGGAUAAUUAGUACAUGGUCAAACAAAUGUACUGUAAAAGAAAAAAAAAAAAAAGACUCAUCCCUUACUCAUUUCAACAAUGUUAUUCCACUCCAGAGUUAUAUCACCCAUAUUUUAAAAGUAAAGAGCACGACUGAAAUUGCUAACUAAGAGAAAACUGUAACAGAUAGCUCAAGCCAAAACUGUGAAGGGAUGAGUAUCAUUACAAACAUCCCUCGAUAAUAACAUACCUGGAUCAUAAAUCCCUUAAUUAUUCGAUGAAACAUAGUUCCUUUGUAGUGGAGAGGUUUGCCGGUUGACUUUCCAAUGCCCUUCUCUCCUAUGACGGAUCAAAUCACAAACCCAUCAAUGUUUACCACAAUCUUGUACAACCAAUCAACAGUGCUUUAACACACCAACUACUAGCAGAAGUAAGUUAAUUCAAUUGUAUUUUACUAAUCCAAGCAAAUAGUUUCCCCACAUCAAUACAACAAAAAAUAAUAUCACAAAUAUGAAAAAAGAUUUGUUCACCAGAGUAAGAGAUAUGACAAAUUGAUGAGAAACUUGAUAUCUUCACACCAAAACAAUAUAAGGACAUCAAAAGAUAGCAAAUAUUUCUGUUUUCCAUUCUAGUCCACUUUAAAAAUCAUCAUUUUACUAAUUAUCCACAUCAUUGAAGAUGUAUUUGGCCAAUUAUUAGGGAACAAGCUUUGAGAAACCAAACAAGUCUUCAGUAGGUGAGGAAAAAAAAAGGCAUGUUUCACAAACAGAUUCCAUGCACAUGAAUAGCUUCAUCUGAAGACAUCUUUGGCAUUGAGGUAAUCAAAUUUACAGAUCAUUUUUUUUUUUUUUGUUUUUUUUUUUUUUUGGUUUUUUUUUUUUUUGGGCUUAUUGAAGACCGAGGGGGCCCACAUACCGGGGAUAAUUAAUCCUACUCAACUGGCGAGGUGGAUCCAGAUGGGAUGACGUGGAACAACACGAUUGGUCAAGGAAAAACUUCGAGUCCACGUAAGGGUUUUUUUUUUUUUUUUUUUUUUUUUUUGUUUUUUUUUUUUUUGGGGGGGGGGGGUGUGGUGUAGAUGUGGCAGGCUUUGGAAUCAGGGAUUUUCUACAGUUGUGUGAGUCUUAGCAUAGAUGAUAGUGAAAUGCAUAAAAAGUGCAGCCUCUGGUCUCAUUUCAAGUAAAGCUUCAUGAUAUAAGCAAAGACCAGCAGCAACUGUGCAUAUACUUCAUUUUACUACAAAACAAUCUAACAACCAACCAAAUUGAGAACAAAGAUGAUGAAAAUAUGCAUGCUCGUUGCAACCUGUCAACACCACAUGGGAAUUAGACAGCAGAUGGACAUUACUGAAUCGCGCAACAGCAUGAAAUAUAUAGUAGAACUAAUUAUUUCAUAUAAAAUCAACAUUUACUGUACAGUGUCAUUAUAAAAUAAAAUAAAAUAAAAAUGAAUUACCAGUACAGAGUGCCCUAAAAUUCUCUGCAGUCUUGGGAACAACAUCAGCAAAAAGCUAAUCAUCCAAAAAAGAAAACAGAUUAUUAAUAUACAUCCUAGUAGCAGACUGAAACCUGCUAUUUCCUUCCAACGAAAGGCUGAAAAAUAAAGUAAAUAACAUUUUGAACAAUGAGUUACCUCAAUAACAAUUUUUUCCACAGGAUCCCCAUCAAUUGAUACAUCUAAGAAAACAAGAGGGUUCUUUUUUUCACUCAUGACUCUUCACUCCAAAAUGCUGAAAUGAAAAGUCAAAGUCUGCAAAUAUCCUGUCAAAGCAUUAUAUAAAUGAAAUCUCGUUUAGGUUUAUGCAUAAGGUUGAUCUGUUAUGGUGUAUGCACAUUCAUUGUAUCCAGAGUGAGUGCAGAAACUUAUCAGCGUAGAUUGAAUCAUGCAAAAUUGGACCUAACUAGCUAGUAGUUUCAUUCAACUUGCGGCAGACCAGUUAUAUUAAGAAUUUUAUUCUCCUACUAACAAAUUUGGAUUACCUACCACGAAUGCAAAAAGGAGGUGCGGAACCUUAAGGCGUAAACAAAGCUCGAGGCAUCAAAAGAAAGUAUGUUUCAGUAAAGACCGAUGCUUCAAACAUUCAAUAGUAAUUUGUCCAUUUCAGCGUCGAAACAUGCACCUAUAAUCUUUAACUAUUUUGACAGCAUUUUCAACUGUCUAAUUGUAACAGACUCCACAAAACCCUAAACCCUAAUUUUCAUUCAAGCUCUUUUUCCGUACAAGAAGCUUCAAUCAUAACAAAUUCGUUCGAAAUUUCACAUAUUCCAAAGGAAAUGUCACAGUUUCCAAAGAACAGAAAUGAAUUGUAGAACUUGAAAGCUUAAAUUCCGUAAAAGUUGAAAACAAGCGAGCUGCAUAAGUAAAACGUAAACGAAGAAGAGUGCCGAGUUUACCUGCGACUUUGCCAAGAUCCGACCGGUUUAACUCAGAUUACAACUCGAGAAUUAAAACGGCGCCGAUAACCACUGGCGUAUUGUUGAAGUGCUUUGCUUGCUUUUUGAGAGAGGCUUUACCUAUUUGCUGCUUGCGAGCUGAGGAGGAAUCUACUAAACUGCGCGACCACUGUUUUAGGGUAGACCUUCAUGGUUGCUGGCUUUCUUUUAUCCACGUGUCAUUCGUAUCUCUCGAGGGUAUAGAGUUGCGUCGUCCUUACUCCUAAGAGCAUCUCCAAAAGACUCUAUAAAUGUUACUCUUCAAAUAUUCAUUUGUUUACCUAUGUAGCAAAUAGAUAAGUGAAAAAAUAUAUUAUUUUUUAAAAAACUCUUCAAAUAGAAAUGAGUUAAUAUUAUUUUAAUUAAAUAAUUAUUUUUUUAAAAGAAAAAUUAAUAGUAAUUAAAGUAUAUUUUUUUUCUUUAACAAAAAGUAAUAAAAUAUAAAUUGAAGAGAGAAUAUCAUUUCUUAUUUGAAGAAUUUUAAUUGGAGUGUCUUUUGGAGCUUUAAAUGUUAAUUAAUAUUAUUUUAAUUAAAUAAUUAUUUUUUUAAAAGAAAAAUUAAUAGUAAUUAAAGUAUAUUUUUUUUCUUUAACAAAAAGUAAUAAAAUAUAAAUUGAAGAGAGAAUAUCAUUUCUUAUUUGAAGAAUUUUAAUUGGAGUGUCUUUUGGAGCUUUAAAUGUUAAUGUAACUCUUCAAAUAAGUAAUAAAAUCUUAUUUGAAGAGUCCUAGAGCAUCACCAAAAAAACUCUUCAAAUAAGAUUUUAUUACUUAUUUGAAAAGUCACAUCAAUAUUUAGAACUUCAAAAGACACUUCAAUUAAGAUUCUUCAAAUAAAAAUUAAUUCUCUCUCUUCAAAUUUGAAGAGUUAAUUUCUCACUCUUCAAUUUAUAUUCGUUUUACUUUUCAUUGAAGAAAAAGAGAGAAAUGCUUUAAUUACUAUUGACUUUUCCUUUAAAAAACUAAUUAUAUGAUUAAAACAAUAUUAAUUUAUUUCUAUUUGAAGAGUCUUUUGGAGAAUAUCAUAUUUUUUCACCAUUCUAUUUGCCACAUAGGUAAGUAAAUAUGUAUUUAAAAAAUAAAAUUUAUAUAGGCUUUUGGAGAUGCUCUAAGGUUCUCGUUUUCUUUAAUUGCCACGAUUACCACUCUGCAGUGGAUCCCUUUUUUUUGUGCAUUGAAAAGAAAGCUAACGCGCAUAUUAAAAAAUAAAAAUGAGACCAAAUACGCGUAGAUCAACUGAUUUAAUUCGAGACUUAUAAAUAUAAUUGUGUUAAAUAUUUAUUAGAAGAGUUUUACCGUCUUAAUAAUUUUAUUCAGUUUAAAUUUAGACCAAUUUGAAUCUGGAUCAGUCGGGAUCCGAUGUGAUCUUCGGAUACUAAAUUAUUUAAUAUAUUUCGCUCAAAUUUUGAUCAGUCGAAACCCAAUGUAAUAUUCAGAUAUCAGAAUAUACAAAAAAAAGGGUAUUUUUUUGGGAAGUGCUUACCGAUGAUGUAAUUUUAGAAACCAUUCAAGUGGAAAAAGUUAUGAAACAUAAGUCGAAUCUUUAACAACGCGCAUUAACAUAUUCCGUAUCGCAAAAUGAGAGUAAUUAUUUUCGAAUAGGAAUUUGGACAUUUUCGUUUUAUAAUUUAAAGAAGAAUGAAAUAUUUUAUUCAAAAAUAUUGGUGAGAGUGAAGCGAUACGAUGUUUGUAAGAAUAAUUCUUCAAAAUUGACGACGGGCCAAUUUUAGUUAUUUGAUUCUUUAAAGCGUUAGAAAGUGGUAGAUUUGAGUGUUGUUUGGAUUUGAAUUCGUUUUACGACGAGAUCGAUCGGUGGGUACCGCAUUUGACCCGCACCAGCCGGUAGUGUUUUCCAUUUCCAUCAUCUCGGGGUCAAAUAGAUUCGGCCGUAAUUUCUUAGCGCAACUUGAGUGCUUGCAUUCGUAAAAUAAAGUACUAAACUUGAGCAUCGCUACACAUGCUGUAUGUAGUUGGGUUAUGUACUACAUAAUUUACAUACAGCACAUGAAUUAUGUACUACAUAAUUUGUAGUACAUAAUUCAUCAUUUAUUAAUAGGCUGUGUAAGAUUUUUAAAUUAAUGAUUAAAAAGAAAUAUAGUUAUAACCUAUGAUACGUAUAUCAUUUGUGCAUCUCCAUUAUGUACAUAUAAUAGUAUUGAUUUCUAUAACCAAAUAAUAAUUUCUUAACAAGUGAGAUUAUUUUAUCAAUCUUCUAUCAUUUUUUUUCCAAUUAAUACAAUAACAAAGUUUCUACAAAGAUCCAAAACUUGAAUUGAUAAAUAGCCAAAGCUUAUCUUACAAACAAUGUAACAAACAUCCAAUAGAUAUAGAUCAUUGAUUUUGAUAUUUCUUAAAUCUAAUGAAUGAAAACAAUUUUAACAGGAAAUGAGGUGUGGGUGUAAUAGUAAUUUAUAAAAAAAAUCAUUUUUAAUCACAUAUUUACUUAUUUUUUUCAAAUAAGUCCUCAUUAAUUUUUUAUAACUAAAUAAGUUUGUAGUUCAUCUCUUCUACAUCUAUUUAAAAACUUUAUAAAACUUUUGCUGGAUUUUUAUAAAAAUUUAAAUGAUUAUUAUAUUCAUAAAGAUUUACAACUUUUGAAUAAAUUUUAGCACCUUCAUUUAUAAUUUCUUGUUUCUUUUAAGACAUAGACUAAAUUUUUCUUGUAACACACACACACACACACACACACACACAUUCAAUCUACUUUCCCAUCCUAAUACAUACCAUCAAUGUUGUUACAUAGAUUUUGUAAUCUAAAUUUAUUAUUCUAAAUUAUGAGAGAUAUUACAUAUGAUAAAUAUCUCAUGAAUCUAACGAACUAUUAAAAACAUGGAACAAUGAAUAAAUUAUCAAAACCUCUAAUAAUUUCAUAAAACAUAGAAACCAAUAAGUUACCGCCUUCUAGUUAUAGGCAAAGAGGAUUUUUCUAUGAAAGAUUUCAACCCUUUGAUCUAAUCAAUGAUUCAGAAAUGUGGAGAAAUAAUAAAUUAAAUUGAAUGUCACAAUAUUUAUUAAAUAAAUUAAGAAACACAAAUGUAUCUAUAAAUGAUAUAGAAGGUGUAAAUAAAAUAUUAUAAAUUAAUAAUUUCAAUGAAGAAAAUAAAAAAUAAAUUAAAAAGUUAAGAGAUUAACUGAGUAAAGAAUUUAAUAAAGUUAAACAAUUAAUAAAAGACUUCAAUAUUGAAAAUUAUGAUAUAUUAAAGUAAGAGAUCAUUAAUGUAAUUAAUAAAAAACUUAAUAGAUAUAAGAUUAAACAAGUUAGAGAUUAAAUUAAAUAAAAUAGAAAAAAUUAUUGAGCAACUUAGUACUAAAUUUACUAUAAAUAUAAAUAGAAAAUUUUAAAAAAAUUAAACUUCUAACAAUACUAUUGCCUGGCUGUAACUUGGGCUUUAAAGUAAAACUUAAAACCUUAUUGAUGUUUU
RNAcentral lists this long non-coding RNA (48613 nucleotides) under Citrus sinensis (sweet orange). RNAcentral describes it as "long non-coding RNA (CSIN_LNC002369)". Lineage: Eukaryota; Viridiplantae; Streptophyta; Magnoliopsida; Sapindales; Rutaceae. The record is from RNAcentral.